CAAAAACUGAUUGUUAAUGAAUCAAAUGAUAAGUCUAAAAUUUGUAAUUCAUCUGGUUUUGAUUAUGAUUUAAUUUUUGGUGUUCCAGACAAGGUUGUUGAUGCUGAAGUAAAUGCUGUUGAUAAUCAAACUCCUAAAUCUUCGAAACAUAUUGAUGAUUUGACAAUCACAUCAGAUACUACUGCUAAUGGCGAAAGUAUGAUGGAUGCAUAGGUGGAGGGGAGCACUUGCAUAUUCCUUCAAAUCAUGAGGUGGAGCAUCCUUUCGAGGGGGAGCAUCAGGAUGACAAUUAUGUUGAGGGGGAGCAUAAUGAUACUGAAACCAUAAAUCUUGAUCAAUAUGAUGAAUUUCAUGAAGUAAUUGAUAAUAAUGUUAUUGCAGGAUCCGAAGAUAAAGAAAUGUACGAAGAUGCACCAUUGAAAUUUGAUGUAGCAUAUCCACCAUUGCAAAAAUGGACAAGAAAUCAUCCAAAAUAACAAGUCAUUGGGAAUCCACAAUGUGGUGUUUUAACUAGAGCUCAAAUUCAUGCAAAGUAUGAGGUACUGAAUACUCAUUAAGAAUUUUUCAUGAUUAAUGUUUUUAUUUCGAAAGUAGAAACAAAGUCAGUGAAAAUUGCAAUGGAACACACUGACUGAGUUGUUGCUAUGCAAUCUGAACUUGCUGAAUUUGUGUGAAACAAGGUUUGCAGACUAAUCCCUAAGCAAAAAGAUGUUUCGAUAGUUAAAUUAAAAUGGAUUUUCAUAAAUAAAACAGGCAAAGAUGGUAAUAUUGUUCGAAAUAAAGCUAGGCUUGUAGUAAAAGGUUAUUCGCAACAAGAAGGAAUAGACUAUGAAGAAAGCUUCGCCCCUGUCGCAAGACUCGAGGCAGUUCGAAUAUUUUGGCCUAUGCAGCUCACAAAGACUUUGAUGUUUAUCAAAUGGAUGUGAAAUGUGCAUUUUUUAAUGGAGAAAUUGAAGAGACAGUUUAUGUGGAACAACCUCCAGGUUUUGUUAAUGAAGAAUAUCCUGAUCAUGUUUACAGUUUAAAUAAGGCAGCAUAUGGGUUAAAACAAGCACCAAAAGCCUGGUAUGCAACUCUUACCAAUUUCAUACAACAAUCGGAAUUCAAACAAGGAUCAGUUGACCUCACAUUAUUUCGAAAGAAAGUUGGGAAUCAUCUAAUACUUGUUUAAAUUUAUGUCGAUGAUAUUAUUUUUGGCUCUAUUGACCCUGCUUUGUCUAGUGAAUUCAAAUGUUUGAUGAAAAGCCAAUUCGAAAUGAGCAUGAUGGGUAAAAUCAAUAAUUUUCUUGGUUUAAACAUUCAUCAAAGCAGAGAAGAAAUUUUAAUCAAUCAAGAAAAAUAUAGAAGGAAUUUGCUUGAAAAAUUUGGAACGACAAAUACCACGAAGUUAAGAGUACCAAUGGCGGUUGGAACAAGGCUAACACCUUCAUUAGACACAUCUGUUGUUGAUCUUAUUUUAUACAGGAGUAUGAUAGGUUCAUUGCCUUAUUUUACAGCAAGUAGACCUAAUAUCAUGUUUUAUGUAUGUAAUUGUGCUAGGUAUCAAGUUUGUAAGUUGCCAAUCGAAAACGAAAACAUGUGUUGCAAUUUCAAUUGCUGAAGCUGGGUAUAUUACAGUUGUCGCUUGCACUUCGCAAAUCAUAUGGAUUUAGAGUCAAGUGCGUGACUAAGCAAUUAUUAUGAAAUAGAUCCCAUUGUAUUGUGAUUCACAAAGUGCUAUAUGUAUUUGUCAUAAUCCAGUACAACACUCGAAAACCAAACAUAUUGCACUUCGGUAUCAUUUCAUUAAAGACCACAUGGAAGAUGGAAACAUUGAAGUUUAUUUUUUACAAACAACUGAUCAGCUUGCUGACAUUUUUACAAAACGAUUGGAUGAAAAAUCAUUUGUUAGAAUUUUGCAAGGUUUGGGAAUGAUUAAGGCAAAUUCGGUUCAAGGACUACUUUCGAAAGAAUGACAAAGAAGUGAUAAGCUUCGUUUGAGAGGCUAAUAGUAUUAACCAUUCAGUGGUUACUGUUCACGUUCAGGGCUUCGAUACGCUUCGUUUUCGAAAUUUAGGAAAUAAAAGUUUCGUUAGUUUGGUACAUUCUUACAUUUUCGUUUGUUCGUUAAUUAAUUUUCUUUUUGAAAAAAUCAAAAAUACCAAAAAUAUUUUCGUUAAUUUGUGUUCUUUUUGAAAAAUCAAAUAUACCAAAAAGAUUUUCUUUAGUUAUUUGUUUUAAUUUUUGAAAAAAUCAAAAACACAAAAAUAUUUUCUUUCUUUUCAAAAACAUAAAAUCCAAAAAGAUUUUUGUUAUUUUGUACUUUGACUUUUCUUUCUUAAUUGCAGAACCAACGAAGUUUUACUAGAGUCAUGCUUGUGUUUCUAGGGUAAGGUAAAUUUUCGACAAUUUAUACUAGUUAGAAUGUCCCUAGAUGCAUGAUGCAGCAUGUCGACCCAAGCCUCCUUUGAUUUAAUGUGUGAUUUUUAAAGCCUUAAUGAAAAUUUUGAUUAUGAAAAUUUCUUCCGAAUCAGGCUUGCAUUCACAUUAGUCUACUGAGCUACCUAACUCUUCUCAAAUGAGUUAACAGUUUUCUGUUUGGUCCAAAAAUAACAGAGGUAGAAUUGAACUCAUGAAACAACCUUUUUCAUGUCACAAAUCUAGCACACUUCACACACAAUGACAUAUGUCCCAGAGGUCAUUGAUCAAACCAACCAUCAUUUAAACAUAUAAAAACUCUGUGUUUAUGAUCUUGAUUCACGAGACCGUUAUGAAAGUGACCAAAUUUUCGAUACUACAAAUCGUAUUUUUUUGUUAUGAGUGGUCUUGAUCAAAUGUUCGAAGCCCACGACAUUUGUUACGCAAUAGGAUCCAGCUGAAACUAAUUUUUCUUUGAAUAUGAUUUUCAUGUGAGUAUCAAUUCUUUCAAUUGUCACUUUCACAGUAAUCCAAAGCAUACUUGUCACUGACUACACUGGUCAUACAAGUCAUUUAUGUUACAGUUACUAACCUUAUGUUUAGGUUGAUAUGUAACAAAAAUUUUAAGCCAUCCACGAAGCCUUGAAGAAGAAGACCUUCGAUACUUCUUUAUAAGUAGUCGAUUGUAGUUGACAAGAAACCACACAAGCUGUUGAUUAUCUCUCUUGAUAAUUAACAAAGCAACCUUUGCCCGGGUUUUAUCUGCCUUUAUGUUGAAAUUUUAUUUUUCGACAUCACAGAUCACAAAUUUUCCUUAGUUUGCUUCAUAUCUUAUUUUGUUGGCACACUGCACACACGAAAUCCUUUAGCUUCUGAGUAAUACAAACUCAGGGUGAUGAUUACACAAGUCUGGCAUAUGAAUUCGUUUCUAAACCCAAAAAUGAAAGAGCCUGUCCUCCAUGUCAAAGGUUUUCGAUCUUAUCCACUUGGUAUCACGAACAGUUUUUGAAGUGACUGUUUGCAACGUGGUGUGACUUCAAAGGUACUCUAUCUAACAUGGCAUGUUUAACGGCUAGUGGUGCGAGUUUCAAGGAAUGAUAAGGCUUACUCUUCCAAGAAAACAUUUGGAAUUCAAUUGGGGUUACAUAUAAAAGGAAGUUAUUAUCUUCUUUUAUAAUUACACGUUCAAAUUCCCAGACGAUCAAAUAGCCCUAACUUUCUCUGUUCAUCAAGAAUUUCUAAAAACCCUAAUCAAUGGUGGCUAAUCCAACCACCACCACUGAAGAAGUUGUAUCACAACCCAUCAUGAUGAUCCAAAGAACCAAUUAUCAGGUUGAGGGUGAUGUAUCACUAUACAUUGAGGAGUUAAAGAUGUUGAUUGCUGCCAUAUGGGUUAAAACAAGCACCAAGAGCCUGGUAUGCAACUCUUACCAAUUUCAUAAAACAAUCGAAAUUCAAACAAGGAUAGGUUGACCCCACAUUAUUUCAAAAGAAAGUUAGGAAUCAUCUAAUGCUUGUUCAAAUUUAUGCCGGUGAUAUUAUUUUUGGCUUUAUUGACCCUGCUUUGUCUAGUGAAUUCGAAAGUUUGAUGAAAAGCCAAUUCGAAAUGAGCAUGAUGGGUAAAAUCAAUAAUUUUCUUGGUUUAAACAUUCAUCAAAGCAGAGAAGAAAUCUUUAUCAAUCAAGAAAAAUAUAGCAGAAAUUUCCUCGAAAAAUUUGGAAUGACAAAUAGCACGAAGUUAAGAGUACCAAUAGCGGUUGGAACAAGGCUAACACCUUCGUUAGACACAUCUAUUGUUGAUCUUAAUUUAUAUAGGAGUAUGAUAGGUGUUGAAUCAAAAAGUGACCCUCUUGAACUUUAGCUACCAUAGACUCCAAGCCACCACAGUCAAGCAAUCUCAUCAAUAAUAGUCAUCUGGAGUCUUCAGGACUGCAGUCUUUAUUUUUACUUAGAUUAUUUUGUCUUUUCUGUAAAGCUCUCUAAUGUCCAGUAUGCCUUGCAUGGCUACUCUUAGAGUUGUAAACUUGUCUCUAUAAAUAGAGUUCAUUUCUCAUGUAAUCAGUACUGUGUGAAUCUCUCAUCAAAUUCUAAUACACAUCUCAAAGUUCUCAUUUUAUCUUACUUAUCCAAUCUUCUUACUUUCAUAAUCAAUCAUCAUAUCUCUUCAGAGCAAGUCACUUGUGACUUAACCAUUAUGUUUGAUUUCACUUACUAACUUGGAUUGAAUGCAUUCCUUGUUACGAAUAUGCUUAUGUGUAUACUUGGUAUAACAAUUGUUGUCAUUUACAUUCCUUUACCUUUCCGCAUCUAACUCACUAACUUCUAACUCUUAAUAUUAUUGUUGAGCUAACAGAUCCUUCGAGAUUAACUAUUCCGCUAUAUACUUGUUCUAACGUUUUGUUCAAGUGCGUCUCAAAGAUUUUUCUCUCAACAAUUGGUAUCAGAGCCAUAGUGGUUGCUUUUUUGAAAAUCGGAACUCUGAUUUUUCGAAGAGCUUUCUAUACCACUGAAGCUCAUUUGUAAAAAAAAUCUUCAAAAUGGCACAAUCGUUAUGACUGAAUGUCUCCAAUAGUGUUGGUGGUUCUAAUCGAGCCCCAAUACUGGUUGCGAAUGAAUAUCAUCACUGGUCUCAAAGGAUGGAAAGAUAUCUCGGAUGACUUGGUAGAGAUGUUUGGCGAUCUAUAGAAGAAGGACCACAUGUCCCAGUCCUCACACUAGUCCAAACUGACGGAGCCACCGCAAGGCUAGGAGGAGGUCAACCAUCUUUGAACUGUCCCACCAAAGAUGAUCUCGACAAGAUGGAAAAUGAUGUUAUUGCCUUUUAUGAAAUCUCUUAUGGAGUUGCUCCUGACAACUUCGACAUCAUCAUAAACUGCAAAUCAACAACAAAGAUCUGUGAUGUUCUCUAAAACCUAUAUGAAGGUUCAGAGAAGCUCAAGACAAGAAGCUCAUCACGACACUCAAUGAAUUCAACAACUUCAAAGCUCACUCUGGUGAAAGUUUGGAAGACACCUUUAAGAGAUUUAACAUGAUUGUCACAAAACUGUCCAAUGCGGGCACUGUCCGUAGAAAUCAUGAAACAAAUCUACAGUUCCUUAAUGGCUUGGGAAGACAUUGGACAACAGCCAAAAUGAUUUUUCAAGGAGACAGGAAGAUUCACUCGUUGUCCCAUUACAAGCUCUAUGGAGAGUUGCAAGCUCAAGAGUCCAUUAUACUCAAGGACUGCUCAGACUUCGGAGGUCCACUUGCUCUUGUAGCACAAUCACCUCACACUCAAACUUAUCCCACUUUGUAUGACUCACCACCGCAGUCAUAUGAAGUAGACUCAAAAUAUGACAAUGAAGAAGAGUUUCAGAAUGCCAUCGCCCUUAUCAGUCAGAAAUUCAAUCGCUUACCACCUUCAUUUCAUAAAAACCAACAAUACAAUCGACCACCUUUCAACCGCAACUUUCAAAACAAUCACUUUCGUUCCACCAAGAAUCCUCUCCCUCCACCGCAGCCUCAGCAAACACAGUCUAAAGACAUACCACCGCAGUCUCAAUCAACUGACUCCAGUACCUCUUUAGAAGACAAAAGUGACAUUGUUAUAUGAAACAAGUGCAACAAAGAAAACCAUUUUGCCAAGGAUUGCAAGGAAAACGUAGUGAAAGAUAGAGCCUUAUAUCUUAGAAUGGCUCAAGAACUGAAGGAAAAAGAAAACAGAAAUGCCAACGUUGCUCAAGUGAAAAGGAAUCAUCAAGUGUGGUCAUCAGGAGAUGAAGAUGAAGACGAUCACAGUAAAGGAAAAGGCAAGAUCUGUAUGGUAGCCACUGCUGAUGAAGACGACUCAACCAAGCUAAAGCAUAACCACUGCUAUAUGGCGGAAGAUGGAACUCUCAGCAUUAUGGAACAAGUCAAACUAAUGAUUCAAACUUUAAAUUACAACAUGCAUGAUUGUCAACCUUUCUUAGAAACACUCAAUGACACAUGUGAUGCCGUCCUUACAGACUACAAUAAUGCCUUAGAUGAGAAGAACAUUGCAUCGCAGGAGAUGUUCCAUGUUAGAGGACGUUUGGACAAUAAGAGAUUCAAAAUGGCAAUGUUAGAGAAGGACUUGAUGCUAGAAAAAAGAUGCUAGGAUGUUAAGUGAAACACAACUAGAAAUAGCUUUAAAUUAGAGAGAUCUAGCAUAGAGUGAAAUUGUACGCUUUAAUCUUUUAAUUAAAAAGAUUUUUAAUGAAACUGAGGCCAUUGAGAAUCUAGUUAAUAUUGGGAAUGUUGAUAACACUUUUAAUUGGGGUUGGUCCAAUGGGUACCCAACCGUAACGGACAACUCACCCCGGUUCACAUCGGAACGUCCCUACGUCCCACCAGACCGCAACUUCUUAUUCCCAGUCAAUGACAAAACAUUUCCUGAGGAUAUCCAAGCUCAUUUUGGUAAACUCUGUGAUCUGAGUAAUAACUCUGUUAUUGAGGAAAUUCUCCCUGAAUUUUCUAAUCAUGUUGAUAACAUAGUUCAUUCUGAUUCUCAGACAUCAUCCGUAGCCGAUGAGGAAAUUGUUGUAGAAAGUCCUGAAGUCAAAUUAGACUUCCCAUCUCUACAGUUUGACCGCAUUGUUCCUAACUGUAGUCAUGAACUGCAGUCCAUCCCAUUACCCAGUAUGAAUUGUCCCACUAAAGUGUCCACCAAGACUUACUUUGCGGUUGUCCAAAGCACUACACCACGGACCAUAGUCAAAAUUUUUGUGACUAUUGAACCAAUUCGUCAUGAAUUGCCAAUCGAAAAUCUUGAAUUUGGUCAAUGUUCUCAAAGUCCUGACUUCUCCAGUUCAGAUGAAUCAAGUCCGUAUUUUUCAAAAACUCCAAAAUAUUUAAGGAAACCGCUAUUAAAUGUCACUGACUGCGGUUCUCCUAAGACCGAAGCAAAAAGAGCUUUUAAAGAAGAAUUUUGUUCCUGUGGGAAGCAAUGGGAAAUUCAUUCAAAACAAAAGAAAUUUGUGAAAUGUCCCAAGUCAAAGAGUCCAUAAAAACUUGUUUUCUCAAAUUAUCACUUCAAAUCAACUAUUUCCAACAAAACAAAAAGGAAGGAGUUUACUGUUUCUGACACUGCUCAAAAAUCAUCUGACCCUAAGGAUAAGUCUUUUCGGUCAAAUGGUUUUCAGGUCUAUUCUUUAGACAAUCCAAAAUGGAAAGGUAUUCUACCUACUCCAACCGUUCCAAAGUCACUUUCAAAAACUCAAAAAUGGAAAGGAAUUUUGCCAACUCCGACACUUAAAAGUCACCUCAAGAGUUUAAUAAAUAACCUCAUAAAAGGCCUGCACGUGUCUACACACCUGCAAGACCUGCAAAAAAACAUCUUUUCAAAACAGACAAACAAAAAGGUCAAAUCUUACAAUCCUCGGACUGGAUAAAAGCAUACUUUUUCUUCAAAACCACAGACUAAGCCAAAUGUCAGGGGAAAUGAUAAAAAGUUCACGUGUCAAUGUCAGUGUCAAAAGAUCUUCUCUUAUGACAAAUCUCAUCAUUCUCAAAAGACUCAUAACUAUCCACAAUCUCACAAUACUCCAAAAAAUCUCAAGCACCCAGGACUAGGCUUGAAAGUUGACUUAAAACCUGUCCCUGCCACCUCACAUCAUGCAUCGAUUAAUACAUCGUAUGUGACUCCGGGCUCCAAACUCGCUUGGGUGCCCAAAUUAACCACUUAAUUUUUGUAGGCGUUGUGCAUGGAGGAUCAGGAAGAAGAAUGAUUGAUCGAUAGUGCCUGCUCCUUGCACAUGACCGGAAGGUUAGAAUACCUUCGGGAUUUUAGGCCUAUAUGCAAUGGUGGAAAUUUUACAUUCGGCAAUAAUGCGAAUGGAAUUAUUUGAGGUGACGGUGUACUUCCUACGGGCAACUUCUCAAUACAGAAGGUUGCUUAUGUAGAAAGCCUUAAACACAAUCUCAUCAGUGUUGGCCAACUAUGUAAGGUAGGCCAUCGAGUGGAGUUUGAUGAUCAGUUUUGUUACAUCAUGAUGAGUGAUAGAAGCACUUGCUUAAUCAAGUCACGAUCUGAAGGAACCAUGUAUCCUCUGGAUGUCUCUCUCAUCAUUGGAAAACCGCAGCUGUGCUUCCUCUCCAAAGUUGUAUCCAAAGAUAGCUGGUUAUGGCACCGCAAGCUCGCUCAUCUUAACUUCAAAUACAUCAACACCUUGGUCACAAAAGAACUGGUUAGAGGACUACCCAUUCUCAAGUUCAGCAAUGACACUCUAUGUCCUGCUUGUGAAUGUGGUAAGCAGUCAAAAGCAAGUCACCCUAUGGUGAUUGGCUCUUCUAUAUCCGAACCACUUGAACUUCUGCACAUUGAUCUCUACGGUCCAUCAAUCGUAGCUAGUCUCCAUCAUACAAAAUAUUUACUGGUUAUAGUUGAUGACUUCACUCGAUUCACUUGGGUUUUCUUCCUCAGAAUCAAAUCCGAAACACCGCAGAUUCUAAUAAACAUCAUCAAAGAAAUAGAACUCCAGAUCAAGCUUCCUGUAAGACGCAUCCGCAGUGAUAAUGGCACUGAAUUCACUAAUCAUCGUUCAACAACUUCUUUGUGUCAAAAGGUAUCUCUCAUAACUUUUCAGCUCCGUAUACAACUUCUUUGGGCUGAAGCUGUAGCAACCGCAUGCUUUGUUCAGAACCGAAGCAUUGUGUGCAAACGCUUCAACAAGACACCGUAUGAGGGCCUCAACAACCAAAAGCGAAAUUUUCGUUUCUUUCACAUCCUUGGGUGUAGAUGUUUUGUGAUCAACAACAGAGAUCAGCUCAACAAAUUUGCACUGAAGUCUGAUGAAAGCAUCUUUCUUGGUUACUCUACGAACAAGGUUGCUUAUCAGGUCCUUAUCAGAUGUACGAGUCUUAUCAUUGAAAGUUUCGAUGUGAUGUUCGAUGACUCUUUCAUCCGUAACACCCCUCCAUCUACUGAAACCACUGCCAUCAUGGAAACCAACAUUCUUGUUUCUUGAGGUCCUCUAAACCUAGUUGUAGUCAAUUAUGAUGAUCUUUUCUACCCUAUUGAAACGGAAAAACUAUCCGGAGUUCUUGUAUCUCCAACUGCUCAACAACAUCACACUGAUGUUUCUAGUCCAUCUCUAUCCGAAGUAGCAUCUCUCAAUACUUUCACCUCUCGGGUUAAGGGGGAAAGCUCUACUCCGGUUCAUACAACAACCAUCGAGGUUCUUGUAAUUGAUGCUCAAGCUCCCAUUCUAAGAAAAUCAUUUCUAUCAAACAUAUCUUUGGAUUCGGAUGAUGAAAUCAAAGAGAAUAUUGACACUCGAACCGACUCAAGGAUCAUUACUCACCCAUCAGCAGCCCAGGUGGAACCUUCUCAGGUUCCAGAGGAACUCCCUUUAGUAAUCUAGGGGGAACCUCUCCAAACUACUCAAGAAAAUGUCAUUCUCUCUCCAACAAGUCAAGAUGAUUCUGCAGGCUGUUCACAAAUCCAGGGGGAACUUCCUUCCCCAUCCGAGGCAACCUCUGAUAUUGAAAACAUUCCUUCUACCUCAGUUGCUGAUCAUCUGAUGGCUCGUCUACAUGUAUGGACGAAGGAUACCCACCAGGUCAAAUUAUUGGCAACCCAUCCGCAUGUAUACAAACUCGAUCUGCCAAAGAUUUAUCUGAUCAUUGUCACUAUGCAACAUUUAUGUCCGCAGUCGAGCCUCGAUCUACCAAAGAAGCAUUAUUGGAACCAAAUUGGAUUUCUGCAAUGCAAGAAGAACUGGAAGAAUUUGAAAGAAACAAAGUGUGGCAACUUCUUCCCAUUCCACGAGGCCAUACUAUUGUUGGUACAAGAUGGGUGUUCAAUAACAAGUUAGAUGAAUCUGAUGCGGUUAUCAGAAAUAAGGCAAGACUAGUUGCUAAAGCUAUACUCAACUAGAAGGCGUUGACUAUGAUGAAACAUAUGCUCUGGUGGCUAGAAUGGAAGUAAUCCGGAUCUUCUUAGAAUAUGCUUCCCACAAAAAUAUCAAGGUACAUCAAAUGCAUGUUAAGAGUGCUUUUCUCAAUGGGGAAUUGAAAGAAGAGGUUUAUCUUCAACAACCUCCCGGCUUUGAAAGUAUCGAGUUCCCUGAUCAAUGCUACAAGCUUCAAAAAACAGUCUACGGUCUGAAGCAAGCCCCUAGAGCUUGGUAUGAGACUCUUUCUGAAUCCCUAGUCUCUUCUGGCUACAAAAUAGGACUGAUUGAUCCCACGCUAUUUAGGAAAGCAAAUAGUACUCACCUUAUGCUUGUACAAAUAUACGUGGAUGAUAUCAUCUUCGGAUCGUCUGAUCAAGGAAUGUUUGAUGAAUUGCUAAGCUCAUGACAAACAAAUUUCAAAUGAGCAUGAAUAAAGAGAUUAACUUCUUUUAGGUCUUCAAGUCAAACAAAUUCAGCAAGGGAUAUUCAUUCAUCAAGAGUAAUACACCACUAAACUUUUGGAGAAAUAUUAUAUGGACAACUGCUCCUCGGCUAAGGUUCCUAUGGCAUUCGGAUAUAAGAUCUUUGAUGAUCCUUCUGGCGAAUAUGUGGAUUACAAGACUUAUAGAGGUAUCAUUGGCUCUCUAAUGUAUCUCACCGCAAGCCGACCGGACAUCGUCUUUGCAAGUGGUGUAUGUGCAAGGUAUCAGGCUAACCUAAAAGUGUCACAUAUGACCGCAGCCAAACAAAUUCUACGGUGCCUAAAAGGAAGCAACUCUCUUGGUCUAUGGUACCCCGCAGGCAAUGACUUCAGUCUUCAAGAGUUUACUGAUGCGGAUCAUGUCGAAUUCAAACUUGAUCUGAAAAGUACAUCUGGUGGAUGUCAAUUUUGAGGUGGUAGACUUGUCAGCUGGUCCUCAAGAAAACAAAGUCGUGUUUCAUUAUCUACCGCAGAAGCAGAAUACGUGGCCGCAGCCAGCUGUUGUUCUCAAGUCCUUUGGAUGAAGACACAACUCUUAGACUACGGAUAUAGAAUGUUGCGGAUACCAAUCUAUUGUGAUUCUGAAAGUGCCAUAGCGAUUUCUCAUAAUACUAUUCAGCACUCCAAGACUAAACAUAUUGAACUACGGUAUCACUUCAUCAAAGACCACAUUCUGAAAGGUAAUAUUGAACUCAUCUUUGUCCCUACUCAUGAAGAGAUUUCUGAUGUGUUUACAAAACCACUUGACUCUACCAAACUCAAUAUGUUCUUACAAAUGUUAGGAAUAAUGAAUCCGGACCCUAAAUUCUUCUUGAAUUGACAGGCACGGCAGACCUUCCUGGUCUCCAUUACGGUUUUAACUGAAAGUUAUUGAUAAUAGAUGAUUUUGGAACACCCUGUGUACCACAGUCAAUGUAUCGCAACCAUAUAUUAUAUGUAUCUUUCAUGGGUCUUUCUUGUUUGUUAUUACUAACUUUUGUACUAGUGCUCUUCUCAGUUUCUCCUACUGCAGUCAUCUGCAAUACCAAAGAAGCAAUCCGCAAUGAUGUGUUCUUCCACAGUCACAUUAAUUGAUUUACAGACGAUUCAUUCUUUUUGAAAAACAAAAAAAAAACAUAGCAUGCUAUUUAAUGAUCCUUCAUUAAAUAAAACAUUAAAUAAAAACAUUCCUUUGAGAAACUGUCACAUUCUUUUCUCCCAAAACCUAGUGUCAGACCUAUUUUAGGUAUGAUGACAAAACAAGAGAUUUUCCAAAUCAAAUCCUCUAAAAUGUCUUUUCCUAUUACCCCAAAUCAUCACAUCUGUUACAACUUCUACUUUAUCCAACGGAUUUUUCUCACCUCCUCCACACGUUCUCAAGACGUGAUUCUACAUCUGACAUUUCAUUAAAUGCAGAGUUCAUUUUGGUUAAUCCCAAUUUCAAUCUUUAUCCCUUGUUGUGAAUAUGUGGUUAAGAAUAAAGAUGCUCUUUCAAAGAUAAACCCAAACGUUUUUUUUACCCAAUUUCACCUAGGUCAAAAACAUAAACGUUUCCGGCUCCAAUAAACCACUAUAAAACCCUUUUGUCCUCCACAAAGAAACCUUUACGCUCUCAAAACCCUCAAUCCUUUUCUGCAUUCUUCAAGCUUUUUCCAACUCAACAAUGGUGAAAUCUGGCGCUUCCAAGAAACAAUCUAAACCUUCUGGAUCAGUGAACCCAACUGGUUCAGACUCUCCCAUUAUUGCCUCGAGCAAUUUCAGAGCGAUGUUUGACGAUCAACCCACAUACAAUGGUCCAACUAAACUGAUGAUCAUGUUCUUGAAGAAUCAUCCCCUGUUUGGACAUUUUGAUGCGUUCACAGACAUUGUUCCACUUUCCACUCUCUACAAGUGUGCUUUUUCGGCCUAUCGCCCAAUCGAUAACCCUCAAGAAGUCCACCUAAACCUUGUCAAUGAUUCCUUGGUCAUCCUGACCAAAGAAAAAUUCCUUUCAACCGUUAAUCUUGUGAUUCAUCCCUCUGUUAAGUUUUUCACACAAUCAAUGGCGGACAUCACCUCUGCACUGUAUUACAUGGUCUAUCAGAAGAAGAUAAAAGGCAUUCGUGAGUUCAAGAAGAACCAAUUGCCUGUGUUCUGGCAUUUUUUUUAUCACUUCAUCAUUCGCAGUCUGUCCGGCAGAACCGGAGGCACGGACAACAUGGGCUUAAAGCUAUUUAACUGGUUUGGAGCAUCUACAAAGGACGCGAUGUGAAUUACGGUCAGAUCCUUUAGGAUGAAUUUCUGCAGUACAUUCCCAAGGAGAGCCCAAGGCAGAACCCUUCCGAGCUUACUUUUGCUUGAUUCUGGUCUCUCUGCAUAUCUGAAUUGCAUGCAGAUGCAAUGAUUGACAUGGGUGAUGACAUCAAUUUCUUCGUCACCAAAGACUUAAAAAGGUACAACCCUUCCUCUAAUCAAACCAUUUUUGGUCCCAUCCGCAGACUCCCUACAUAUAUUCUUACUUCCCUUGGUCUCGAGAUUGCUGAUGUCUCAGACCACGUUGAGGCUACGAAAGGUAUUGACCUAUACCUUCCCACCCCGCCUCUUCCAUCCGUAGCCUUAAACCCUGAAGGUACCGCAGUUCCUUCCUCCACCACUCUUUCUAACGUCUCUCAAAGACGCAAACAUAAGGUUUCUUCUCUCCAUGGUCCCCGCACCACAAAGAAAUAUAGCACUCCCAAAAAGGAUGCCCCAAAACCAUCUAAACCAUCAAUGAAAAGAAAAUCACCACCCGUAAUCACACUGCUGAACCGAGUCGCCAUGACUCCGGUAAUGAUUCUGAAGAGGAUAACCAACCCAUUCUAUCCUCAAGAAAUGGAAAGCUAAUCACACUAGCCAAAUGCAUGUUCGGAACGAUACCUCAGCCUCUCAAUAGGCUCCGGUAGUCCUUGGGAUGCCUGCACAUCCAUUCGACAACACUAUCUUUUUCCUUUCAGACUCAGAAAGUGAGUCUGAAUCACAACAAAGAGGAGACUCCCUACUAGUACAUUUCCAAAGGGAUAAUCUAGUUCUCGGCCUAAAGUCUCCAGGGCUUCCCGACUGCAUAUUUUUUCACUCGAGCAGUUGAACUCCAUCCUGUUGAAUGUCACCCAAACACUCCAAACACAUUCCCAUCCACAGGGCACUUCUUCCGCCUAUGCCAGAACUGAGCCGAGGCCAAACUUGACCACGGGUAAAGGAGACCACGGAAGCUCAGGAAAUCCUACUCUGGUUACAUUACAAUCAGGUGGUUUAGGCACGGUGAGCACAAAUGUGCAAGCAUCCGUAUACCCAAGGGACACCUUGGUGCGACUUACAGGAAUUGACGGAGAAGAUUCUAAUGAUUCUUGGAGCAGAUAUCAACCCUCUAACGAGGCUGAAGCCAAGAAAUAUGCCGCUUUUCGUAGGGCGUUUCAAGCUUUCAAGGAUCAGCAUAUCAAGCAACAACAACUCAAGGAACAAGAGAUUCCAACCAUGGGCAAGUAUUGGGCAAAUGCCAUAAAAAAUGCCAAUACAUUAGCAACCGUCCUGAAGGUUCAAGAAUGGAUGUCCAUAAUGGCAGACAAAGAUCAACAAGCUCAGAAAACUACUGCUGAUCAGCAUGUCUCUCAAGCCCCACCCCCUCUCCCACUGCUGCAGGUUCACAAGAUGAAGAACCUAAAAUCGAAGUGAGCUUUGCUCCUAUUUUUGGCUUCGAUGAUGAUGAACCACAAGAGAUGAACAAACCCUCUCCUUCUGAUGACGAUAUGAUGAUGUUUGAUGAAGAUGAAGAAUCUAGUGGUUCUCAUCACUCCACUACUAUGCCAAAGGAAAAGAGGAAGAAGAAGAAGCACAUAGUCACAAGAAAGGAAUUUCUCAAUCUUCAGGCUAAGGUUGAUCAAAUCUUAGGUGCGGUUAAGCCAAAUCAACUGCAACCAGAAGACUGUCUUGGACCGUAGUCCCUGAUGGAAAGAACAGAAAGGCUGGAAACCAGAGAGAGAAUGGUUGCGUAGCGUAUGUCUCUAAAGGUUGAGAUGGGAAUCAGAUCACUUGACAAUAAUCGUCAAGCUGAUCACAAGGAGUUUAUGGAUGCUGCGGAACGCCUCAUCUCUGAGGUUACCGCAAUCAAAAACCGAUCUUCAAGCAGCCAUUGCGGAUCAGGCCUCACAUUCUGAGAAGUUGAUUGCUUAGACUCAUACUGCUUAUGAGUCCGUAAUCUCCGUUCUUCAAACUACGAUCAACAGAAUGCAACGAUCACUAUCUGCCAACUUCCAUGGUCCGGAAAUUCUUCAACUCACCAAGGAGAUUCAUAAACUACUCUUCAAUUCCUCCAUUCCCAAUAAUCAACAAUUGGAAGAAGACCUUAAAGCACAAUUUCAAAUGGUGUUUGACAGGGUUGAUGGCAUUCGUCAAUGGCUUAAGGAGGCUCCGGGUCUGAACUCCUCAAGAGGGGGAAGUGAAGAAGUCCAUCAUUCCAACCAAUGGUGUUUUACAGGGUUGAUGGCCUUCAUCAAUGGCUUAAGGAGGCUCUGGGUUUGAACUCCUCAAGAGGGGGAAGUGAAGAAGUCUAUCAUUCGAACCAAUCCCUCUCACAUCAUCAAACUCCCCCAGUCCCUACUGAAAAAAUUCCCACACCACAAACAUCACCGCAACAUGAAAAACAACCCUCACCGCAACCAUCUCAUCACACUCCACCUCACAACUCCCCUCUUCAUGUUGAAAAUACUCCUGAAAAACCAAAGACUCCCCCGCACUUCAAGAAUCUGGAGGAGUAUAUGUCUUCUCCAAGCUCAAACGACUCUCCUGCCACUACUCAAAGAAAAAGUGAUUGGAGGGCAGCCAAGCUAGCUGAAGAAGUAUGGAGACUUUGCGGAUUUGACACGGUUAUGGAUGAGUCCUUGAUAAACUUUUGGAUCAAUCCACAUAGAAGACUACUUGAUGAUGACUACGUCCCUCAUCUUACCUAUGCGGAGCCCCUCUCAGACGGUUACUGGGAUGUCCCAAUCUCACCGAAUACCAGAUACUUCAUUGUAUUUGAGCAGUUCGACCGCAACCUUCUUGAUGACAAAAGACUUCCGAUGGAGUUCGAGAGACUUAGCCAAUUCUAUGCUAAGCAUGCCUCUCCGGUCGAACAUGUAUGGUCUAACGAUUGACCAUCCGCAGUCAAAACUUACAAGAUCCGAAAGUUCAUGAAGGCUGAGUUCAUCCAGUACACUCUGACUAGGAGGGAGCACGACUACAUCCACACCCAGGCUGAUUUUCCAUCUAUGUACCCUGAAGAAGUUUUUCUCAUCGCCAAGGUGUUUCAGCACAAGUCUGAGAAGCAUCCGAAGAUGAAGAUUGCACUUGAAAGGGCCGGUAACUUUCUUGAGGAAACAAUCUGUGACUUCGCCAAAAUUGAUGCAGACAUUCAUCCCAUCAUUUUCAAGAUUGCUGACUUGCCACCACUUGACCCUACACUCAUUCCUACCGAAGGCUAUGAGGAAAGAUCCUUAGGUGCAACCAACUAUCCUGAGAUGGGAGUCAUUUUCAAGAGGAAGACUGACAACGUCAAAUAUUUCAUUCCUAUGACUGCCAUGCAUCGUCUCACCAGAAAACAACUUGAGAUCUGCCGAAACGCAGUUGAAAAAUCCAAGCAUACCACUAUAGAGGUCAAGUUUGAAAUACGUAGAAGAAUCAACUGGUUAGAGAACAUCAGGAAGUUUUGGUGGAUCUUGAUCGAGUUCCUUCAACUUGAUAGUUGAUCAAAGUUAAAGAGGUCACUUAGGGGGAAAUUAUUGAAUCAAAAAGUGACCCUCUUGAACUUUAGCAACCGCAGCCUCCAAGCCACCGCAGUCAAGCAAUGUCAUAAACAAUAGUCAUUCGAAGUCUUCAGCACCACAGUCAUUAUUUUUACUUAGAUUAUUUUGUCUUUUCUGUAAAACACUCUAAUGUCAAGUAUGCCUUACAUGUCUACUCUUAGAGUUGUAAACUUGUCUCUAUAAAUAGAGUUCAUUUCUCAUGUAAUCAGUACUGUGUGAAUCUCUCAUCAAAUUCUAAUACACAUCUCAAAGUUCUCAUUCUACCUUACUUAUCCAAUCUUCUUACUCUCAUAAUCAAUCAUCAUCUCUCUUCGGAGCAAGUCACUUGUGACUUAAUCACUAAGUUUGAUCUCACUUACUAACUUGGAUUGAAUGCAUUCCUUGUUAUGAAUCUACUUAUGUGUAUACUUGAUAUAACAAUUGUUUUCACUCACAUUCCUUUACCUUUCCGCAUCUAACUCACUAACUUCUAACUCUUAAUAUUAUUAUUGAGCUAACAGAUCCUUCGAGAUUAACUAUUCCUUUACAUACUUGUUCUAACUUUUUUUUCAAGUGUGUCUCAAAGUUUUUUCUCUCAACAAUAGGUUCAUUGCUUUAUUUUACAGCAAGUAGACCUGAUAUCAUGUUUUAUGUAUGUAAUUGUGCUAGGUAUCGAGCAAAUCCAAGAGAACCACACUUGACUGUAGUGAAAAAUAUUUUUCAUUAUCUCAAGGGAACAAUUUCGUUAGGAAUGUGGUAUCCUUCGAAAUCAGGAAUUUUAUUCAAUCAUUUUUAGAUUCAGAUCUGGGAGGAUGUACGCUUGAUAGAAAAAUACAAGUGGAGGAUGUCAGUUGUUGGACGGGAAACUUGUAAGUUGCCAAUCGAAAAAGCAAACAUCUAUUGCAAUUUCAAUUGUUGAAGCUGAGUAUUUUGAAGCUGUCGCUUGCACUUUGCAAAUCAUAUGGAUUUAGAGUCAAGUGCGUGACUAUGCAAUUAAUAUGAAAAAGAUUCCAUUGUAUUGUGAUUCACAAAGUGCGAUACGUAUUUUUCAUAAUCUAGUACAACAUUCGAAAACCAAUCAUAUUCCACUUCAUUAUCAUUUCAUUAAAGACCAUAUGGAAGAUGGAAACACUGAAGUUCAUUUUGUAAAAACAACUGAUUAGCUUGCUGACAUUUUUACAAAACCGCUGGAUGAAAAAUCAUUUGUUAGAAUUUUGCAAGGCUUGGGGAUUAUUGUAGGAAAUUGAUUUCAAGGACUACUUUCGAAAGAAUGACAAAGAAGUGAUAAGCAAAUGUGUCGAUUCAGAGGCAAUAAUGGUUCAUUCAGAGGUUGAUAGCAUUAACCAUUCAGUGGCUACUAUUCACGUCCAGGGCUUCGAUACGCUUCGUUUUUGAAAUUUGGGAAAGAAAACUUUUGCUAGUUUCGUACAUUCUUACAUUUUUGUUUGUUCGUUAAUUCAUUUUCUUUUCGAAAAAAUCAAAAAUACCAAAAAUAUUUUCGUUAAUUUUUGUUCUUUUUGAAAAUUCAAAAAUACCAAAAAGAUUUUCUUUUGUUAUUUGUUUUAAUUUUCAAAAAGCUCAAAAACACAAAAAUAUUUUCUUUCUUUUCAAAAAUAUAAAAUCCAAAAAGAUUUUUCUUAUUUUGUACCUUCUCUAUUCUUUCUUAAGUGCAGAACCAACGAAGUUUUACUAGAGUCGUGAUUGUGUUUCUAGGGUAAGGUAGAUUUUCGACACUUUAUACUAGUUAGAAUUGGUGGGUUUUGAGCAUUCUAACACUUCCUAAGUGUACAUACAACCCUAAUAACCUUGGAUCUAUGUUUGUCUAACAAUCAUGCAAAGUUGUUUUCCAAGGUUAUCAACCUAUCUAGCAUACAUGGGGUACAAUUUUCUUUGUAUAAAAGAUAGAACUACAUACCUUGUUGUUGAAAGUGUUCCUUGAAACCUUGUGAGCCUAGCACAUCAAGUGUGAUGCCUCAAAUGCUUCACACAACACCAAAUGCAAAGUAUAAACUUGAGAGAAUACUCUAACACACUCAAAAUCGGCCAAUCCCUCUUGUUUCUCUCAGUGUAUCGCUUGUGUAGCUGAUUUUGGGGAGAGACAUGCUCCUUAUAUAGUGUGUUGCAUUAGGUAAAACCCUAAUGUAACAUGACUCUUCAUUUCUCAAUCCAUGGGUUAAAUCCAUGGAGCAUCCAUGGAGCAUCCUAUGGGUGGAACCCAACUUGAUAAUCCAUGGAGCCUUUUAGCCCAUUAUAUAAGAUAUGGAAGAUUUACAUAAUCUACCCAUAUAUUUAAUUAGUUAGUCUUUUGAUCACUUAAUUAAUUCUAAAUUAAUUCAUUAUCAAAACUAAUUAAAUAAUAUUAUUAAUAUAUUAGAACUUAUAAUAUAUUAAUAAACCAUAUGUGUUAUUUCUCUCAUUUAGUUUAUCCAAUUGCAUGGUGCCAUGCAACCCAAAUGGACCAUGCCGGGUCGGGUCAAGUAUUUACCAGAAAUAGUUAUGGACUUAGACACAUUAUCCAAUAGUCUCCCACUUGGAUAAGUCUAAUAACUAUAACUGCAAUACUUCAGGAACCGAUCGGCAAUCGUAGCUCUUUCAAGGUCUCUCGGAACUGAGAAGAUGUUGAUACGCCAUUUAAGAUAAGUGAUCAUAUAAUCCUCUGUUCUAGAUAUCAGCCGGACAAAUACAUGGAACAAUGUCUUACUUAUUGUCCAGCAGUUUGUUUCCCGAUUUCCGAUUUGUUUGACAAAGAACUUAAUUGAACACAUCAACUUAGUUCUGACCGGGCCCGGUACAUAGGUCAAAACAAAAUCAUCGAGGGGCCCAGAUAUCAGCUUCUAAUCCAAGAAGGAACAGAUAAACUUCGACUCAUAUGUUUGUUCUACCACUCAUUGAAUUACACACAAAAGCACGUUUUAUAACAUCGAGUUACCAAUGCGUUUUCGUACAAUCAAUGCAUAACCAACUCGUAAGUAACAAAUCAUAUCUCUAGGUUUGAAGACUUAUAUGAUAUUACCGUCUCACGAUCACUCGAGAUAAAAUUCCAUGAAGUGAUUCCAGUGAGCGUGGGUUGAGUCCAAUACUCAGAACUUAUGAGCACUCAUGAUUGUUGUAGCCAUGUCCAACACCUUAGACCUCUGCAACCAAUCAUGACAGUCUUGAUUCAUACCUACUUCCGACAUAUGACCGACUGUGGAGGUUUGAAUAAUAUGAUAUACCAAACAUAAUUAUUCUGGAAGUCAAAACAUGCAAAAGAAAUAUAGUAAACGAUUGACAAAAGAUAGUAACACUUUACUCAUAAAUAAACACAACUUUUAUUCAUCAUCAAUUGUCAAUUACACUUUACAAAUUUCAUAAUUUAUCUAACUACUAAAACUUAUAUCAUCCAUCAGCCCUAUGCUCCGAGCAUGCUGGAGAUGCUUAACCCUACUCAGUCCCAUCGUGAGGGGAUCUGCUGGGUUCUCAUCCGAUGAUACCCUCUUUGCCACGAGGAUUCCUUCUUCUAUGCGAUGUCUGAUAAAAUGAUAUUUUCUGUCGAUGUGUCUGGAUCUUCCGUGAUCCCUUGGUUCCUUGGCUAAGGCAACAACACUUUCACUAUCACAGAAAAUUUCCAUGCGCUCCUUUAUAGCUGGUACAACUCCAAGGUCUCCAAUGAAGUUCUUUAGCCAUAUUGUCUCCUUAGCUACCUCGCUAACUGCUAUAUACUCUGAUUCACAAGUGGAAUCAGGCACUGUCUCCUGCUUGGAACUCUUCCAAGUGAUUGCUCCUCCGUUUAAGGUAAAGACCCAACCCGACUGAGAGCAGAAAUUAUCCCUAUCAGUUUGGAAGCUAGUGUCACUAUACCCUACAAGUCUCAAGUCAUCACUCCCACCGAGGGUAAGGACCCAGUCCUUAGUCCUCCGUAGGUACUUGAGGAUAUUCUUUACCGCAGUCCAGUGUGCCUUGCCAGGAUUCCCCUGAUACCUGCUAACCAUGCUCAAGGCAAAAGCUACAUCAGGUUGAGUACACGUCAUAGCAUACAUGAUCGAGCCUACUGCUGAAGCAUAAGGUACUUGACUCAUUUCUGCAAUCUCAGCCUCGGUAGUUGGGCUUUGUGUCUUACUGAAUCUGGCGUUACUCUGGAUCGGUAACUCUCUUUUCUUGGAGUUCUGCAUGCUGAAUCUCUUGAACACCUUGUCCAAGUAUGUACUUUGACUAAGUCCAAGUAGUCUUUUACUUCGGUUUCUCAAAAUCAUUAUCCCUAGAAUAUAGGCAGCUUCUCCUAGGUCCUUCAUAGAGAAACACUUCCCUAGCCAGGACUUAACUUCCUGCAGAGCUGGGAUGUCAUUUCCUAUGAGUAGUAUGUCAUCCACAUACAAUACCAAAAAGCUAACUAUACUCCCACUAGCCUUGACAUACACACAAGAUUCAUCUUCACUCCUAGAAAAGCCAAAUUCCUUGACCUUUUCAUCAAAGCAAAGAUUCCAUCUGCGAGGUGCUUGCUUCAAUCCAUAAAUGGAUUUCUCAAGCUUACACACUCUAUUAGGGUACUCGUUGCUGACAAAACCCUCUGGCUGACUCAUGUAAACAUCUUCAGCCAACUUUCCAUUAAGGAAAGCGGUUUUGACAUCCAUCUGCCAUAUUUCAUAGUCAUGAAAUGCAGCUAUGGCUAACAGAACCCGAAUAGACUUAAUCUUGGCUACUGGAGAAAAGGUCUCAUCAUAAUCCACUCCAGGAAUUUGAGAGAAGCCCUUUGCAACCAGUCUAGCCUUAUAAGUGUGUACUUUACCAUCCAUGUCGGUCUUCUUCUUGAAGACCCAUUUGCACCCUACUGUCUUACGACCUGGUACAUUUUCAACCAAGUUCCAAACUUGAUUGUCAUACAUGGAUUGUAUCUCGCUAUCCAUAGCCUCUUUCCAUUUAGCAGACUCAGGGCCUGCCAUGGCUUCCGUGUAGCUAUUAGGUUCAUCCAGACCUACUAGUGUCUCAUCUCUAAUAAGUGUCUCACCUUCCGCAGUAAUAUGGAAACCAUAGUAAUGCUCAGGUGCAUUCCUAACUCUCGUGGACCGCCUCAGAGAUACAGACUCGUCAAUUGGCUCAAUAGGAGUUUCCUCCUAAAGUUCAGGGCUAGGGUUUGAAGUUCCUUCACCGCUUGACUUUUGUAGUUCUUCAAGGUCAAUUUGCCUCCCACUGUCUCCUUGGCGUAAAAACUCUCCACUACUAGAAAAACAGCCUUUUACGACGCUCAUUGCAUUGUCACUAGGUCUGUAGAAGAGGUAACCAAAGGAUCUUUGUGGGUAGCCGAUGAAAAUACACCUCUCGCUUCGGGGUUCUUUCUUAUCAUGAGACUCGCGCCUCACAAAAUCAUCGCAACCCCAUAUCUUGAUGUGGUCUAGUUUGGGUACUUUACCAGUCCACAUCCCAUGAGGAAUUUUGGCAACUUUCUUUGUAGGUACCAAAUUAAGAAUAUGGGCAGCAGUCUCUAAGGCAUACCCCCAGAAUGGGAUUGGUAGCGAAGCUCGACUCAUCAUGGAACGAACCAUAUCCAACAACGUUCGAUUACGCCUCUCAGCCACACCAUUCAACUGUGGUGUCCUGGGAGGUGUCAAUUGUGAGACUAUCCCACAUUCCCUUAGAUAGUCGAGGAACUCUGAACUAAGAUACUCACCACCACGAUCGGAUCGAAGCAUCUUAAUGUUCCUGCCCAAUUGAUUCUCGACUUCCUAUUUAAAUUCCUUAAACCUUUCGAAAGUCUCUGACUUAUUCUUGAUUAAGUAGACAUAUCCAUAUCUACUGUAAUCAUCAGUAAAAGUCAAAUAAUAACGAUUAGCAUCCCUUGUGGCAUGAUUGAAUAGUCCACACACAUCCGUAUGUACAAGGUCCAACAAACCUUCACCCCUCUCACAAGAACCUGUGAAGGUUGACUUUGUCAUUUUUCCAAGUAAGCAUGAUUCGCAACUAUCAUCUGACUUUAGGUCAAACGACUCCAAGACUCCAUCCUUUUGGAGUUGGCCUAUGCGNCCUUUUGGAGUUCGCCUAUGCGUUUCUUGCUUAUAUGUCCAAGACGACAAUGCCAUAAUGAUGCUUUAUCCAAGUUAUUAUUUUUAAUAGAAUCAAUACACGUCACAUUAUUUCCUAAGUUAUCAACCACAGAUACAGUUUCAUACACGCCAUCACAAGGUACUGCUUUAAAAUAAAGAACAUUAUUAAAGAAAGCAUUAAUCGAACCAACUUCAUUAUCAAAUGAAAAGGUGAAACCUUGUUUAUACAAUGCAUGAAAGAAAAUAAUAUUUCUUGCCAUUUCUGGCGAAUAACAACACUUAUUCAAAUCUAAAUUAAACCCACUACUUAGCGAUAAAGUAUAAACUCCAAUCUUGGUAACAGGUAUAGCUUUCCUAUUCCCCAUGAUCAAGUUUAUCCUUCCUUGCUCCACAUCCUCACUUCUUCUUAGUCCCUGCAAGUCACAACAAAUGUGAAUACCACACCCGGUAUCAAGGACCCAAGAAUUAGAAUGGGGUGAGUUAUUAGAAAUGAUAGUGUAAAUACCUGCAUGGUUGGGUUUAACUUUCCCAUCCUUCACAUCUUGCUGGUAUUUUGGGCAGUUCCGCUUCCAAUGAGCUUUUUCAUGGCAAUAGAAGCAUUCAGCCUCUUUUGGGUCAGAAGAAGGAGUAAUGAAACCUUUCUUGGUUCCACUUGAAGAAGAGCCAUCAAGGGUCCGAACCUUGGUACCCUUAGAAGAGCUCUUUCUCUUCCUCCCUCGACUUUUCCCGAUUGCCAAAACCGGAGUAGAGUUUUGAGUAGGAGUGAUAGCAACCGACUUCCCCUUAAGACCUGAUUCUGCGGUCUUGAGAAGUCCCUGAAGUUUGCUGAGGGUGACUUCUUCCUUGUUCAUGUGAUAUGUCAUGCGGAAUUGAUCAUAGCACGAUGGUAAGGAAUGCAAAAUAAUAUCUAUUGCAAGAUCCUCCGGGAAGUUCACAUUAAGCUUCAGCAAACGAUCCACAUACCUUUGCAUUUUCUGCAUGUGGCUCGUGACGGAUUCCCCGUCCUUCAUCAUGGUUGUUAUCAUGGAGCAGAUGAUUUCAUACCUCUCUUGUCUUGCACUUUGAUGGUAUCUUUCCAUCAAAUCUUGGUGCAUUUCAUAAGGGUAGAAAUCCUCAUAAGACUUUUGGAGUUCCGCUGUCAUCGUGGCCAUCAUGAUGCAAGCCACUUUCGUAGCAUCCCUUUCAUGUGCCCGAAAUUCAGCGAUCUCCUGAGGAGUUGCAGUGGACUCAUCAAUCUCCUUAAGCUCCUUGUCAAGGACAUAUUCUUUGUCCUCGUAGCGGGUAAUCAUCCUGAUGUUUCUGAUCCACUCAUUGAAGUUGGAUCCAUCAAAGGUGACUUUCCCACACAAGUUCAUAAGGGUAAAGGAGCCAUUAGGAUUAGAGCCAGAAGCAUUGUUGAAAGACAUCUGAAGGAAAGAGGACAAGAUUAGUUUAGAUAUAAGAGAGUCCUUAAUAAAACACCCAAAUGUAAUAUUAAGGCUAGGAUCCAAUCACAAUAUAAUAUAACUUAGAAGAGGUAUGCCGUAAUCUAAGCUAUAUCAUAUUUGAAAGGUAGGUGAAUGACGAUUCACCAAUUUCCACCACGAAAACCGCAAUAUUUUAGUAUUAGGUUUUUGAAUGGUUCUUAGAAAUUCCUAGAUUCUUUGAGAUUCAAUGAACUUUUCAAAGGCAUGUUUCAAUCUCGAGUGUGCCCUCCAAGUUUUGUGACUGGGAUACCGAGGAUCACAAAACGAGGUGUGAAGUAACCAUGCAAAUCACUUGGUACCCUUAAAGUUUAUCACUCAAUCGAUGUGCCGGUUAACCACACACGCUCCAUCGAUACUAUAAUAAACCCUAAGUCACCCUUUACCUACCUUGUUAAGUCCAAGUUAGUGUGCCGGUUAACCACACACGCUCCACCAACGACUUAAUCAAAGUGUAAAGUGUAAUUUCAUGGAAUAGCACCUUAUUCACAUUUUUCCUAAAGUAACUAAGAUUGGGAAUUUAAUAAAACAUUUAGUUACUUUAUAAUAUUCAUCAUACUUUGAAUGAGAAUUAAUAAGUCCUUGUCUUACCCGUUCGGCUAACGACCCUCCACCGAUCAAGCAAGCGGUGGGUGAGAGUGGACACCCAUUAAGUCACCAUUUUAUAGGCAACAACCUUAUACCCACCUUAUAGACCGGCUUCGUGAAUGAGGCGUACUAGCGGUAAGACGACUUUGAUCUUAUACAUAUAUAUUAUUAUUAACUCAUAAUAUUAUAAGUAUAAGGGUUGAAUUUUAACUUUUAAAAUUCUAAGGGUUGGAACUAAAGUUUUUAACAUGACUUUACUUGUUCCAAAACUUGAGGGCAAGUUUUGUAAACUUUCAAAACUUUUCAUUUCUUGUAACUUAUGAGUUAAUUAGAGUAUUAAAAAUGAAGACUCUUCAUUUUUAUAACCCAUGUGUUCUUUUAAUGGUUUUAAAACAAAGUGACUUUUGGUUUUCCAUAACUUGAGGACAAGUUAUGGACUCCAUUAAAACACAUAAUGAUCAUGAAUUAAUCUACCACAUAGGUUACAAAUAAUUCCUAUGAUCAUCUAAACAUCAUAAGAUCAAGAACAUGAAUAUGAACACUUUCAUCAAUCAAAAAUUACACUUAAAAACUUGUAAUUUUGAUAACUUGUUGUUGUAAAUGGAUUAACAUGAAAAUUACACCAACUAAAACAAGUUUUAAAACACCAAAACAAUUUAGGGUAAUACUCCUAGUCCAUUUCCAGCAACAAGAACCGAAAUUCUGAAAACUACAGCCUCUACUCGUCGAGUGCAUGAACUGACUCGACGAGUAGCUUGCAUUUUGUCAUGGACUCGUCGAGUCCCCCCAUGGACUCGGCGAGUUCAUACGGGCAGAAAGCAGAAAACUCGAUUUUUCAAGCAGUUUGCACAAAAAUCAAACAAGCAAGCCUAGGCUCUGAUACCACUGAUGGGUUUUGAGCAUUCUAACACUUCCUAAGUGUACAUGCAACCCUAAUAACCUUGGAUCUAUGUUUGUCUAAUAAUCAUGCAAAGUUGUUUUCCAAGGUUAUGAACCUAUCUAGCAUACAUGGGGUACAAUUUUCUUUGUAUAAAAGAUAGAACUACAUACCUUGUUGUUGUAAGUGUUCCUUGAAACCUUGUGAGCCUAGCACAUCAAGUGUGAUGCCUCAAAGGCUUCACACAACACCAAAUGCAAAGUAUAAACUUGAGAGAAUACUCUAACACACUCAAAAUCGGCGAAGCCCUCUUGUUUCUCUCAAUGUAUCGCUUGUGUAGCCGAUUUUGGGGAGAGACAUGCUCCUUAUAUAGUGUGUUGCAUUAGGUAAAACCCUAAUGUAACAUGACUCUUCAUUUCUCCAUCCAUAGGUUAAAUCCAUGGAGCAUCCUAUGGGUGGAACCCAACUUGAUAAUCCAUGGAGCCUUUUAGCCCACUAUAUAAGAUAUGGAAGAUUUACAUAAUCUACCCAUAUAUUUAAUUAGGUAUUCUUUUGAUCACUUAAUUAAUUCUAAAUUAAUUCUUGAUCAAAACUAAUUAAAUAACAUUAUUAAUAUAUUAGAACUUAUAAUAUAUUAAUAAACCAUAUGUGUUAUUUCUCUCAUUUAGUUUAUCCAAUUGCAUGGUGCCAUGCAACCUAAAUGGACCAUGCCGGGUCGGGUCAAGUAUUUACCAGAAAUAGUUAUGGACUUAGACACUUUAUCGAACAAGAAUGUCCCUAGAAGCAUGAUGCAGCAUGUCAACGCAGGCCUCCAUUGACUCAAUUUGUGAUUUUGAAUGCCAUAAUGAAAAUUUUCAUUAUGAAAAUUUUCAUUAUGAAAAUUUCUUCCCAAUCAGGCUUGCAUUCACAUUAGUCUACUGAGCUACCUAACUCUUCUCAAAUGAGUUAACAGUUUUCUUUUUGGUCCAAAAAUUACAGAGGUACAAUUGAACUCAUGAAACAACCUUUUUCAUGUCAAACAUCUAACAGACUUCACACACAAUGACAUAUGUCCUAGAGGUCAUUGAUCAAACCAAUCAUCACUUAGACAUAUCAAAACUCUGUGUUUAUGAUCUUGAUUCACAAGACCGUCAUGAAAGUGAGGCCCACUUUUCUAAACUUUCAAGGAAUUGACGAAGGACUAUGUUCCUAAUUUUCAGGAAACAUUUGUUUCACUACCAAUUUUUUUAUAUUACAAAUCGUUUUUGUUUGUUAUGAGUGCUCUUGAUCAAAUGUUCGAAGCCCAUAACAUUUGUUACGCAACAAGAUCCAGCUGAAACUAAUUUUUUGUUGAAUAUGAUUUUCAUGUGGGUAUCAAUUCUUUCAAUUGUCACUUUCACAGUAAUCCAAAGCAUACUUGUCACUGACUGCACUGGUCACACAAGUCAUUUAUGUUACAAUUACUCACCUUAUGUUUAGGUUGAUAUGUAACAAAAUUUUUAAGCCACCCACGAAUUGAUUUUCAUGUGGGUAUCAAUUCGAUACGCUUCGUUUUCAAAAUUUGGGAAAGAAAGGAUUCGUUAGUUUGGUACAUUCUUACGUUUCCAUUUCUUCGUUAAUUCAUUUUCUUUUUGAAAAAUCAAAAAUACCAAAAAUAUUUUCGUUAAUUUGUGUUCUUUUUUGAAAAAUCAAAAAUACCAAAAAGAUUUUCUUUUCAAAAAUAUAAAAUCCAAAAAGAUUUUUGUUAUUUUGUACUUUGUCUUUUCUUUCUUAAGUGCAGAACCAAUGAUGUUUUACUAGAGUCAUUCUUGUGUUUCUAGGGUAAGGUAAAAUUUUGACACUUUGUACUAGUUAGAAUGUCCUUAGAAUCAUGAUUCAGCAUGUCAACCCAAGCCUACAUUGACUCAAUGUGUGAUUUUGAAAGCCUUAAUGAAAAUUGUGAUUAUGAAAAUUUCUUCCCAAUCAGGCUUGCAUUCACAUUAGUUUACUAAGAUACCUAACUCUUCUCAAAUCAGUUAAGAGCUUUCUGUUUGGUCCAUAAAUAACAAAGGUACAACUAAACUCAUGAAACAACCUUUUUCAUGUCAUACAUAUAACACACUUCACUCUCAAUGACAUAUGUCCCAAAGGUCAUUGAUAAAACCAAUCAUCACUUAGACAUAUCAAAACUAUGUGUUUAUGAUCUUGAUUCACGAGCCCAUGAUGAAAGUGAGGCCCACUUUUCUAAACUUUCAAGGAAUUGACGGAGAACUGUGUUCCUAAUUUUCAUGAAACAUUUUUUUCACUACCAAUUUUUUGAUACUCCAAAUCGUUUUGUGUUUGUUAUGAGUGGUCUUAAUCAAAUGUUCGAAGCCCACGACAUUUGUUACGCAACAGGAUCCAGCUGAAACUAAUUUUUCUUUGAAUAUGAUUUUCAUGUGAGUAUAAAUUCUUUCAAUUGUCACUUUAACAGUAAUCCAAAGCAUACUUGUCACUGACUGCACUGGUCACACAAGUCAUUUAUGUUACAAUUACUCACCUUAUGUUUAGGUUGAUUUGUAACAAAAAUUUUAAGCCACCCACGGAGCCUUGAAAAAGAAGCCCUUCGAUACUUCUUUAUAAGUAGUCGAUUGUAAUUCACAGGAAACCACACAAGUUGUUGAUUAUCUUUCUUAAUAAUCAACAAAGCUACCUUUGCCCGGGUUUUAUCUGCCUUUGUGUCAAAAUUUUAUUUUUCAACAUCACAGAUCCCAAAUUUUCAUUAGUUUGCUUCUUAUCUCAUUUUGUUGGCACACUGCACACACGAAAUCCUUGAGGUUCUGAGUAAUACCAACUCAGGGUGAUGAUUUCGCAAGUCUGGCAUAUGAAUUUGUUUCUAAAACGAAAAAUGAAACAGCCUAUCCUCCAUGCCGAAGGUUUUCGAUCUUAUCCACUUGGUACUCACGAAGAGUUUUUGAAGUAACUGUUUGCAACAUGGUGUGAGUUCCAAGGUACUCUAUCUGACAUGGCAUGUUCAACGACUAAUGGUGCAAGUUUCAAGGAAUGACGUGGCUUACUCUUCCAAGAAAACAUUUCGAAUUCAGUUGGGGUUACAUAUAAAAGGAAGUUAUUAUCUCCUUUUAUAAUUACGCGUUCAAAUUCUUAGACGAUCAAAAAGCCCUAACUUUCUCUAUUCAUCAAGAAUUUCUAAAAACCCUAAUCAAUGUUGGCUAAUCCAACCACCACGACUGAAGAAGUUGUAUCGCAACCCAUCAUGAAGAUCCAAAGAACCAAUUAUCAGGUCGAGGGUGAUGUAUCACUAUACACUGAGGAGUUAAAGAUGUUGAUUGCUGCUCUUCAACAUUUUGUUCUUCAUACUGCCAUGUUUAACUCCUUUGAAGUUUCGAUGACCUGGUUUUCCAAGGCUGGUUCUACUGCUUCUUACAACAAAGCUACUGAUGUUAUCUCGUUUAAUCUGGUGAAUGAAAAGAGAAUUCAUCUCGCAAAGAAGUCGUUUACUCAAAUAUUGGAGAUUCUGAAUUCACCUCCAUUCUUUAAACCAUCCAAUGCUCAGAUUCUAUUCAUGUUUAACGAGAUGGGUCAUCAACCACCACUCAUCAAGAUUAGUGAUUUCAAGAAAUCUGGUCUACCUUGCAUCUGGAAUUUCUUGGUUGGGAUAUACCUUCCUUGCUUAACUGGGCAAAGUGUAGGGCUUGACAAGGGGAGAAUGGAAGUUUAUGCUAUUGUAGCAGGAUUGUAUUAUGACUUGAAUGUAGAUUUUGCUACUCAAAUAUGGAAGGAGUUCGUUAAAAGCUUGGAAAACACGAACAUGGUGAAAGGGAUUUCAUGUGAUCGUUACUGGACUUUAAUCCUCAAGAUGGAUUUUGAAAAAGAAGAAAUUCACGUUCUUGCAGAUGAGGCUAAGGCAGAGUUCAUGAAGUAUCAUUUUCCAAAGACUGUUGAAGAUGAUUCAGAAGUAUUUCCCAAUGUUGCUCGAAUUCCUGAUGGUAUGUUGAAGAAAGUUGAUCCAACAAAGUCUUUAUUGGUGUCAUACUUGAAACAUGUUAAUACUUCAAUUGAAACUGGGAUUUUGCUAAAAAUCAGUAAUGAAGGAUCGUCUAAGAAAGUUAAGAAUCGAAGAAGGGAGAUGAUGAUGUUGUUCACGAAAAGCCAUAUCUCUAUUUGAAAUGAAAUUAUACCUUUAAAUACUUGGAAUUAACUUAAAUAUUCUGCAAUAUAAUUUGGGGAAGUUGUUAGUACCAAUAUCCUCAAUCAUAUCCAAGAUCUUGGAUCUCUAAAAUAUCUAAGGAUCCUUAAACCUAUCCAGGAUCCCAGAUCAUAAAGGAGACUCAGGAUCCCGAACAUAGAUCAGGAUCCUAAACAUCGCCAUUAUUAUUUACAAACAACUUUAAUGACUAUAUUACUUUUUUAUUUACCACAUGUGAAGAAAUGGUCAACAUAGGAAUCAUUCUCCAUGAAGAAACGUUCCAAUCACGCUUAAGAUCCAGAAAUACCAAGUCAAAGCAUGUGAAAAUACCAGCUUCGCAGGAUCCUGAAAAUCUCGGACUUAUAGUUACUUAACCUAGACUAUAUAUAAACUUGUGGAUAACACACAACUAGGCACAAUCUUUUGACACCUUACAGACUUAGAGCUAGGCAAACACUUGUAAUCGUAUUUCUAUCAUCAUCUCUAUAAUUUACAUUCAAAUCAAUAAGAUCAUACAAGGAAGGUGAUCAUUAUCACCUCCUAAGGUUUUAUGUUGGAGAUCCUCGCAAGGAUCAAUGGAUUUCCUUGUAAACCACUCGUGUUAUUUUUAUCUCAAUUUAGUACUCACAUUAGUCACAAAACCACAGCCUCUAAUAUAUUUUCGUUGACAUCAACUUAUUCGAUUUUUGACCAAAACAACAUGCAUGUUGUUUUCGGGUGAAAUCCUACCACGAUCAUCAUCAAAAGCGUAUGUGUGUAUGUUUAUGUGUUCAUGAUCUUUCAAUAGAGUGGAGUAGAAGAAGGAGAAAAUACAAGAAAAAUGGUACAACUAGAAGGAAAAGUGAAGGAGAAAUCAUUUUUACCUUCACGAACACCACAAGAUUAUGAAGAUUUUGAGUUAAAGAGUAUCUUGAGGCUAAUUCUACUAAAAAAAAUUCGUGGAAAGAAAAGAUCCGAAGAGAGGAUUGAGUGGUAGAAGACUUGGAGUGUGAGAGAUAAUGAAAAUGUGAAGAGUGUGAGGAUGAGAACUGUAGGGUCCGUUAUGUGUUGCGUCUUGGGCUCAUUCAUUAGUCCAAAUUUUGUUUCCGGAUUGGGCCUAUCCAUCCGUGAGUUAUUUUCUAGGGUUUAGUAUUUAUAGAUGCUUGCAUGCAUCUUAGUACGUACGAUUUUGGGAGUCGAUCAUUCAUAGAAAUUACUUUUUAUCGUUUGUAACCCUAGUAGCCUCUACAGCGGAAGUUCUUUGUCGAGCUCUGCUGAGGCUUGGAUCUAUUGAAUCAUUCGACGUAUUUUGAUUCACUCUAGUGUUUGAUAAUUUUGUUUACGUUUUCGUGAUUAACCUGUUUAAGAUCUUAACGAUCAAAGAGUUGUUAACUCAUCAAUUGUUUUCAGAGAGGGAGACUAUGUAAUUCAUACACAUCUCUUCUGUGAAAGAAGUGAUUAGGGUUUAUUCUGCAUUCAUUGAUAUUUAUUGAGCCGUCACUCCAUAAUUGAUGUAUCUCACUAAUUAUUCACCUUGCCCUAAUAUUAUGUAUUACAAAGUCUGAUCUCAUAACAGGUUAAACGAUCAAGCAUGGACGAUUCUCAAUCCAAUCCUAUUAACAUCUCUAACAGUAUAGAAUCAACAACCAAGAUUCCAAUUCUCUACACUCAAGACUACGUUAUUGGAUCUGAACAUAAUGGGUAUCUGAUAUGGGAAGCUAUUAUAUCUGGCCCUUUUGCUCAUUCAGGCACAUCUAGAAUCAUUAAAACUCAAAAGGAGUACAAUGAUUUGUUGAAAGAUGUGAAAGACGUUGCUCAAGACGAAAAGGAGAAGUUUCAAUGCAACAUGAAGGCAUUGAGACUAAUUCGAUUCGCUCUUCAAUCCGACACAUUUCGAGCAGAAACCAGAAGAGGUUGCUACAGAAACAUUUGAUCAUUUCAAUCAUCUUCUCAGCCAGAUGAUCAAACAUGAUAUUGAAAGGAAGCUCAUCGAACAGAAGGUCACUUUCCUGAAUGGCCUAAGAUCCGAAUGGAGAGUUGUUGUGUCAACGGUUAAAGGACACGAGCAGUUCAAAUCGUACUCGUUGGCGCAACUGGUGGGGAUUCUUAAAUCCCAGGAAAAGACAGUGCUACAAGAGAAAAGCGUGGUUUCAAAUUUGGGGUCUUUGGCACUUCUGUCCAAAGGUAAGAGUGCAGCAGAAGACGAAGAGGAUUUAAAUCUGGGAGACCACGAUUUGACAGCUGAUGACUAUGCUAUGACGGUGUCAAAUCCCAGAAGGUUCAUUAAGAAAAAGUUCCCUACCAACAAAAAUCGAAAUUGGCAGGGAAGCUACAGCUCUGCAAAAGUGAAAGAGGAGCCGAAGGUUGAAGAAUCAAAGAAGGAAGUGAAGGCUGAAGCUGACUCUGGUGUCAGUUGCUUUUAUUGUGGUGGGAAAAAUCACUAUGCAAAAGAUUGUGUGCUAAAGAAUAUGGCAGAGAAAGAUGAAGAGAAGGAUGAAGAAGCAAGUCUCCUAAAAACACUGGAGGAGAUUAAUAGGAAGAAAGCUGCUACUAAUCCCUCUAUGAAUGCUCUUAUUGUGCAGGGUUCGGUAGAUUAUGAUGAGUUCGGAGGCGUGCAGGUGUGGUCGACUGACUCAAAAGAUGAUGAAGUGAGAAAGCCUUCUCAUGGAAAGGCUUAUGUAGCAAAGAGUGGUGAGGCUGAUGGAAGAUGUCUGAUGGUAUUAAAUGUAUCUCAGAUGAGGGGAUACAACAUUGAUGGUGGAAAUGAAGAGGCCAAGGAGCGAGAGGACUUGUGCUUUACAGCGAAACAUCUCAGUGUGCAGAUCAGUGAGCUAGACGAACUGAUCAAGAAGGUACAAUCUAUUUUUAUUUCAUUUUAAAUUCCACAAAAAUCAUAUGAAAAGUAAUUAAAUAACUUGAAUUCAAGAAUUUCAAAUCUAGAUAGUUGUUUCACUCAAACACGGGUCACAAAUUCUAAUCUAACUGACCAAAUAAGCAGGGUGUCAUCCAAGAGUGAGGAGUGAAGGAUAUGGAUAGAGCAGAAAGAGUUGGAGCUAGUUAAGUCUAGGGAUGAGAACAUUUAUUUGCAAAGAGACAAUCUCAAAUUAUGAAAACAGAGGAAUGUUUUUUGUUUAAUUGCCAAAAGGCUUUAUGCUAACAUUACUCAGCUGCAUUUAAACUGUGAAAUAGGACAAAAGAUACAUCACAUGAUUUUAUCCUUCCUUGAGUUUAAGGAGGAUGAAAUCGAUGCCAAAGCAUACAACUAUGAAAGUGUUGUAUCUUCUGAUGAUGUCAAUCCUACUUAUAUGUAUGGUCUGGACAAAAUUGAAUCUUUUAUAAAGUCCAAAGACCAUAAGGAUAUUCUUAAAAAUCUUUUGGAUGAAAAUGAUAAGUUGAAACUCAGGGCCGAAACCAUACAAAAAUUUGACUCAUUGAGUACCAAAUUGAGUUCAGAAAAUAAAAUUGAUGUUGAAAAUGCAUCUGAACUUAAUGAGGACGAUGACAUGAGUGUUCCGAGUUCAUUAGGAGCAAACCUGAAAACCACAAAAACCUGAUUUCUGAAAAUUAUGUGGAAUUCGCUCGUUUGUCUAAAACUAAGUUCCCAAUCCUUAAAGAAAAGGUCGUUAUGUUUCAAAAGGUUAGAACAACUCCCAAUCAGGUUUAUAAGGUCACAAGACUAACCGAACAUCAGACAGCCGAAGUCACUGCCAUAGUGAAUGAAGCUAAUGAAGAUGGUUGUGAUGAGUUUUUCUGGUCUGCACCAAUAGACAACACAGAUGAAAUAGUCGGUUUGUCGGAGCGAACAUCAUGGAAGGCCAAAGGUAGAUAUAUGCCCGAACCUCUGAAUAAGCCUACCAACUUUGACGUACCAAGUUCCAGUGGCACAAAAGAGAUUCCAGUGGAAGAAGUCACCUCAACUAGCAAAACCUCUUCCAUGAAGAGUGAACCUGUUACUAAGAAGCUGAAACAAAAGGCAAAUAUCCACAGACAACCAAAACAGGUGAAAAAUCAAAAGCUGUAGAGAAACUUGAGAUACAAGAAAAAUCUCUCAGAGCGAAAGAAGUUUUGGCGCUCCCAAAAUCCUCACUACACUCACUUUGACAAAAAUUCUAAGUCAAAAGGAGAAGAAAACAAGAGUAAAAGGAACUUCGAAUCACCGAUUCAAAAGAACCAGAGGAAGACUUUCGGGGCACAGAAAGAACAAAACCAAAAGGAUAGGUUCAGUCCCGAAAGUAACAACAACCAAAAAGUUGGUUUCAGUCCACCAAAAAACAACAGGCAAAGACCAGAUUUCAGUCCGUCAAGCUUUUACAAUAAAAGAACUAGUUUCGGGCCACCAACCUACAACACCUGAAAAUCCAGCUUCGGUUCAUCUUUAAACAGCAACCGAAGGUCCAGGUUCGGUCCCUCAAAUGACCACAACCGAAAGGGUCAUUUCGAACCUCAAGUCAGGAAAGAAUCUCAUUCUAAUAUCUUUUCCUCUAAUUCUUCUUGUUCUCAAUCUUCUUCUAAGCCUAAGUUUGGUCCUACACCAAAUUCAAGAUCGUCAAAGGAUUUCAAAGGAAAAAGGAAGAUUUCCUCAGCAAAUGAAGACCGAAAGCAGGCUAAAGUCCAAACAGCAGAACCUGAAUCCAAAAUAUCUGCAUCUAAUACUAAUAAAAUCAAAGUAUUUACUAUUAAAAGGAAAGAUGAAACAACCUUAAUAAAACGAACAUAUCUCGUUGAUGUUGCUCUUACUAUUCCUGUUUCUGUAAAAGGCUCACGUGGACCCAAGAAACUUUGGGUUCCUAAAUCUGCCUAAUUUUUGCAGGUUAUUAGUGACGAGCAGUUUGACGAAGAAUGGUACAUAGACAGUGGCUACUCACAUCACAUGACAGGAAGGAAUGAAGAGCUAAGGGAGUUUCGUUCUCUUCAAAAUGGUGGCGUAUGUAGAAGGGUUGCAGCAUAAUCUCAUCAGUGUAUCUCAACUGGUGGGAGGUACCGGUCUCAAAGUCUCGUUCGAUGACGAAGGUUUAGAAAUUAUAGAGAAGAAAUCCAACAAAGUCAUUCUCAAAUCAGAUCGAAAAGGUGAAAUGUUCCCUCUGAAUCUCAGACCAAUCAAAGUUUAUCCAGCCAUAUGUCUUUUGUCCAAAGCUCAUUCAGACGAAAGUUGGUUGUGGCACCAAAGGCUUUCACAUCUCAACUUCAAAGACAUCAACAAGCUUGUCACCGGUGGUCAUGUUCGGGGUCAUCCAUUGCUUAAGUUCGAUCGAGAACACUUAUGUGCGGCAUGUGAAAUGGGAAAAGAAAGUCGUCAAAGUCACGCAACCAUCAUGAACACCAAAGUUGUUGAACCACUUGAGUUGCUUCACAUUGAAUUAUGUGGUCCAUCAUCAAUCGAGAGCAUUGGCGGUAACAAGUAUAUCCUUGUUAUUGUUGAUGACUUCUCACGGUUUACUUGGGUAUUCUUUCUAAGGCACAAAUUUGAGGCGACUCCCAAGCUGAAGAUCUUUAUCAAACAAGUCGAAGUGAAACUGAGGAAAGUCGUUCGAAACAUCAGGAGCGACAAUGGACUGGAAUUCAAGAACAAAGAAUGUGAAGAUUUCUUAACUGAAAAAGGCACCAGUCACAAUUUCUCAGCCCCCUAUACACCUCAACAGAACGAAAUUGUCGAAAGGCGAAACCGAUCCCUAUACGAGGCGGCCCGAACCAUGUUGAGCUUUGCUUUUCUUCCCUUAUAUUUCUGGGCUGAUGCUAUUGCUGCAGCAUGUUUUACUCAGAAUAGGUCUUAUCUCAACAAGCAUUUCUCUCUCACUCCGUAUGAGAUUAUUAACAACAGGAAGCCGAAUGUCAACUUCUUUCACAUGUUCGGUUCCAAGAGCUUCAUCUUCAACUCCAAAGAACAUCGCAACAAGUUUGAUGUCAAAGCUGAUGAAGGAAUCUUUUUGGGAUAUUCUCUUACUUCAAAGGCUUACAGGGUUUUGAAUAAGCGUUCUAAAAGAAUUGAAGAAACCUAUUAUGUGACGUUCGAUGACAAUUACGUCAAGAAGUUAAAGUCUACCGAAGAAGCAAUUGGGGAGAUUUUCUCUCAAACAGGUCAAGUCACCGCCUCAAUUGCCAAUUUAUUUGACCAGUUCAUAGACUUAUUUGAUGAACCUGAGAAAGCCACUCUUUCGGAAGCCAAGGCAGCAGAAUACAAAAUCGAUCACCUUAAGCAGAUUAUCGAAGAUGCGGCCAAAAAAAUGGGAGAAGGAGAACCAGUUCUAAACGAACCUCCCCAGAGCGGUACUUCAAAGGCUUACAGGGUUUUGAAUAAGCGUUCUAAAAGAAUUGAAGAAACCUAUUAUGUGACGUUCGAUGACAAUUAAGUCAAGAAGCUAAAGUCUACCGAAGAAGCAAUUGGGGAGAUUUUCUCUCAAACAGGUCAAGUCACCGCCUCAAUUGCCAAUUUAUUUGACCAGUUCAUAGACUUAUUUGAUGAACCUGAGAAAGCCACUCUUUCGGAAGCCAAGGCAGCAGAAUACAAAAUCGAUCACCUUAAGCAGAUUAUCGAAGAUGCGGCCAAACAAAUGGGAGAAGGAGAACCAGUUCUAAACGAACCUCCCCAGAGCGGUACUUCGGUCGAGGGGGAGAAUCAAUUCUAUUCAAAUCAACAGGACUCACAUAUUCAAGGGGAGAAUCCAAUCUUUGACGCACCCGAAUGUCUAGUAGCACCCGAUAGCCCAGCUACACCCGAAAGUCCAGUAGCACCCGAAAGCCCAGCUACACCCAAAAGUCCAGUAGUGCCCGAAAGCCAAGCUACACCCAAAAGUCCGGAUCAGCCUGAAAGCCUAGUUGAAGAAAUAAUUUUUGGGUCAAACCCAAAUAAUUUGUCAUCUGUCGAGGGGGAGAAUUUUGAUAUGCUCUACAACGAUGAUACAUAAUCAGAAUUAGAAGAAAUGGUGAAUGAUGAAUUGGAUCUGUCCUAUGACCUAAAUUAUCCUUCUCUCACCAAAUGGACCAGAGAUCAUCCUGUAUCUCAAAUAGUGGGUGACGCAUCAGAGAAAGUUCUAACACGUUCACAACCGAAGGCGAAACAAACUGCUUUAUUCUCCAAAGUAGAGUUCUGCAUGUUUAAUUCUUUCAUAUCCGAAAUUGAGCCGAAGACCGUCAAUUUUUCCCUUGAUCAUUCUGAUUGGGUGCAAGCAAUGCAAGACGAACUCAAUGAGUUUGAAAGAAAUAAAGUCUGGAGACUCAUUCCAACACUAAAAGAUGCCUCGGUUGUCGGUCUCAAAUGGGUGUUCAGGAACAAAAUGGACAAGGAGGGGAACGUAAUCCGGAAUAAGGCUCGGCUUGUGGUAAAAGGAUACUGCCAGGAAGAAGGAAUUGAUUACAAAGAGACAUUUGCUUCGGUUGCAAGGCUGGAAUCCGUUCGAAUAUUUUUUACCUAUGCUGCACACAAGAAUUUUGAGGUCUACCAGAUGGAUGUGAAGUGCGCUUUUCUGAAUAGGGAACUUGAAGAAACUGUGUACGUGGAGCAACCUCCUGGUUUCGUGAAUGAAAAGUAUCCAAAUCACUGCUACAUCUUAGAUAAGGCGGUUUACGGUCUGAAACAAGUACCUGGGGCAUGGUAUGAAACUCUAACUAAAAUUUUAAAGAUGUCUAAAUUCAAACAAGGUUCGGUUGACCCAACCUUCUUUCGUAAAAUGGAAGGUAACCACCUUAUGAUAGUUCAAAUCUAUGUCGAUGAUAUCAUCUAUGGCUCAACGAAUCUUAGCCUCACAGCUGAAUUCAGAAAGUUGAUGGAGACAAAAUUUGAAAUGAGCUCAAUGGGUCCGAUUAACUUUUUCCUUGGUUUAAAUAUUAGACAGGUAACUGAAGGCAUCUUUAUCAACCAGGAAGCAAAUACCAAGACUCUUCUUGCUAAAUUCGGCAUGAUGGGAGAUUCAAAGGUCAAAGUCCCUAUGGCAUUUGGUACCAAGCUCACACCAUCUUUGGAAAAACCGGCAGUUGACAUAACGCUAUAUCGCCAAAUGAUUGGUUUCCUAAUGUACCUCACAGCUAGCAGGACUGAUAUAAUGUUUUCUGUGUGCUAUUGUGCCAGGUUUCAAGCAAAUCCUCGUGAACCACACAUGCUAGCAGUGAAGAAUAUACUCCAGUAUUUGAAGCGAACCACCUCUCUCGGUCUCUGGUAUCCCUCAAACUCAGGUUUCUUUGUUCAACCCUACUCAGGUUUCUGAGAGACCUUGAAAGAGCUACGAUUGCCGAUCGGUUCCUGAAUUAUUGUAGUUAUAGUUAUUAGACUUAUCCAAGUGGGAGACUGGUGGAUAAGGUGUCUAAGUCCAUAACUAUUUCUGGUAAAUACUUGACCCGACCCGGCAUGGUCCAUUUGGGUUGCAUGGCACCAUGCAAUUGGAUAAACUAAAUGAGAGAAAUAACACAUAUGGUUUAUUAAUAUAUUAUAAGUUCUAAUAUAUUAAUAAUAUUAUUUAAUUAGUUUUGAUCAAGAAUUAAUUUAGAAUUAAUUAAGUGAUCAAUAGAAUAACUAAUUAAAUAUAUGGGUAGAUUAUGUAAAUAUUCCAUAUCUUAUAUAGUGGGCUAAAAGGCUCCAUGGAUUAUCAAGUUGGGUUCCACCCAAAGGAUGCUUCAUGGAGUUAACCCAUGGAUUGAGAACUGAAGAGUCAUGUUACAUUAGGGUUUUACCUAAUGCAACACACUAUAUAAGGACCAUGUCUCUCCCCAAAAUCGGCUACACAAAUGAUACACUAAGAGAAACAAGAGGGCUUGGCCGAUUUUGAGUGUGUUAGAGUAUUCUCUCAAGUUUAUACUUUGCAUUUGGUGUUGUAUCAAGCAUUUGAGGCAUCACACUUGAGGUGCUAGGCUCACAAGGUUUCAAGGAACACUUUCAACAACAAGGUAUGUAGUUCUAUCUUUUAUACAAAGAAAAUUGUACCCCGUGUAUGCUAGAUAGGUUCAUAACCUUGGAAAACAACUUUGCAUGAUUAUUAGACAAACAUAGAUCCAAGGUUAUUAGGGUUGCAUGUACACAUAGGAAGUCUUAGAAUGCUCAAAACCCAUCAUUUACAACAUGGGAUACACUGAGAUUCUAACUACAGUUACAAAGUUCAAGAAAUCUUGUCUUCCUCCACAGUGGAAUGGGUUCUUCACGGUGCUGUUCAAGGGUUUGUCAGAAAGAACUGCAGGUUUUGACGGGGCUAGUUGUAUGUUUAUGAUGAUUCUCUACAGGUUAUACCACCACCUUAAUCUUGACUACGGCUCUGUGUUAUGGCAGCAGUUGAUCUAAAGUCUUGCCUCUACUUCUCGCCAUUCUGAGAUUUCUUAUGCCAGAUUCUGGACACUGGUCACAAAGUGGGCAAUGGACAAGUAUCAUGUCCCUGUAGUUGCUAAUUCUCCACUCUCCUUUAUCGGUGUUUUCCACACAACGAAGAUCAUCGUGAUUGAUUCUUCCAAGUUUCAGUUCGUUGGCUCAAUCCCUGAGUCAAUGUAUGCAUGUGAUCCAAGGGAUAGUCGCAUCAUCAAGACUUACAAGGAUUUUCUUCAUUCAGGCCCCAGAGAGCUCACUCCAGAAAUGAUUCAAUCUAUCCACGACGCUGACAUGCCUGCUCCCAAGGGCAAGAAACAAGAAAAGGGGAAAGACUAGAAGGUAGUCAAAGGAGCGAAAGGUCCUUCUCCAAGGAAGCGAAAACCUUCGAAGACAUCUCAAUCACCUCCACCAAAGAAGAGGAAAACACAGCCCAGGCGCAAACUAAUUCUUGCCUCUUCCUCCAGUGAAUUAGAGGAUGAGAGUUCAGACUCAGAGGAGUCGCUUCGAGGUAACACUCCUCCCCGUUCACCUUCACCUGAGGUACCCGUUUCAACUAAACUUGUCUCUCCUCCCCCAAUCUCCAUCUCUAUUUCCAUUUCCCCCAUAACAUCCACUACUCAUAUACCACCCACCUCUAUCCCUGUACCACCUCCUAUUUUCUCAGAAGCUACGACAACAACCACUAUUGGAGUUCGAACCAACGUAUCUGAUACGGGGGCUCAUACUUCAGCACCCAAACACACACCUGCUACUGAACAUACUUCCACACCCGAACCCACUCCCACAACUGAACCUCCACCUUCGCCUUCCUCUCCCAAUCACUCAGCAGAUAACGAGCCUGUUCUUGGAGGAGAAGACAUGACUUUUGAAUCUGUCUACUAUAGUCCGUACCAGGUUCAAAGUGAUGAUGACGAUGAUGCUCCUAUCACUAAAAAGCAUCUUAAGGAACUUCAUGAGAAAAUCGCCAGUCUCAUCGCUUCCUCCUCUUCCUCUCGGUCCACUAUCUCAGAGGCUGCCAUUUAGGGCUAGUUGAUUCGUUCACCAAGGCACAUGAAGCCUCAAUCAACUCUGCCACUGCUGCUAUCGGCGCAUCUACCAAGGCGUGUGUUCCUGCGACCGAAAAAGUUGAAAAACUAUUUGUCGAUGCUAACAAUAUUUUCAGUCUUUACAGGGAGCCGCUGAAUCCAAUGCACGAAGGUUGACUCUCUUGUCGAGAAGCUGGUCACUUCUCUUGCAUCAGAACAACAAUUCUUUGCCAGUCUUCGUCAGUCACUUGAAGCUGACAAUAAAACCUUACAGGCGACUGUUGAGGAGCGCUUGACAAAGCUGCAAGAAGAUAUUGCUUCAGAAAACUCCGUGAUGGAUGCUCUUGCUUGCAAGACCACUGCUCUAAAGGUCCAGAGUCUUCAACUUUUCCAAUCAGAAAAGGAGGUUGCAUCUCUCCGAUCUAAGCGAGCGGUCAUUUCUACGUGUGUUUCGGAUGUCCACGCCGCCCUCUCCAACAUUCUUGAAGUGCAUGAUCCUAUCAUGAACUAUUCUGUGAGGCGCACUCUAGCUGAGAAGCUUGCUCCCACCCUUGACCUACUCAGCAAAAUUGAAGGGCUUCCUGAGUUCAUGGCUCAUCCAAAACAAGGGGGAGAAGAUGUGUCUCAACCGCCUCCUACUUCUACAUCAACUAAAGCAACCGAACCUCCUCCAACAGGUCAAGCUUUAGGUUUGGGUGCUAAAGAUAAAGGGAAGAAGAUUGUUGAAGACAGUGAUGGUGAUGAUGAUAAAGAGACCAUCGCUGAUCUCUUGAAGAAACAAGGCCGAGAAAAGGAUUCAGACAUGAGUGCUCGUGUUGCCAGAGAGGCCGAGGUGAACGAAAGAAAAAUGAAGGAGGCUCAUGAUCUCCUUGAGAGUCAAAAAGCUUUAUUUCCUCUGUGGACUCUCGAGAAGCAUCCUAUGGCUCGAACCAGUGAUUUCCUUGGACAAGGUCAACUCUGUCGACUCUCAGUUUGAUAUGCCCUUGACCCGGAAGGCCUUCAUAUUUCAUGCAUUCUCCCAUGUUGCUGAUGUCCCUCAUCCUCACCCGAAGGUUGAUAGGGAGCUUGUUGAAUUCUAUCUGAGGGCUGCUCAGCCUCAGUAUCAGACAUGGAGUGCUCAGAAGAUCAUAAACGUUCGGGUCCUUAAACCUUUUCGGGAGGGAAACUUCACAAACGUUCGGUUCAAAGUGCUGAGGGGGUCUGCUAAAACAGAACAUGCUAUUUCACUUGCUGAUCUUCCCAACCUGAAUCCACAUGAUUGGAUCAUCUUGCACAACAUCCUCCUCACCAACAAAGCUGAAUAUGGGCAAAUCAUAGAUCACUUCAAAAGGAUGUUAGUUUGCUACAUCAUGGAGGUCGCCAAGAUGGAUCAGGAGAUUGCAAUUAUUUCAAGAAAAAGCCCACCAUCUCUCCAAUUGGCUCUGCAAGCGAUCUGAAUAAAAUGCAGAUGGGGAGGAUCGACCCAAAGCGGAACUCAGUCAUGUUCACAAGGAACGAAGGCCAAAAAUGUCUGUUCGCCUUGGCAGACAAGCAUCUAUACACCACUGCGUGCUUGGAACAUGUUCUGGGGAUCAUCAAUCGAUGCAAGCAGAACUCUGAUAAUGACAAGAAAUACUUCGAUGAUAUGAUCUAGUGGUACAUUCACUUCAGAAAAACCAUCCUUGCCCUUAUUCCUAGUCUGUUCGAAACCACAAAUAAAGUUCCUGCAGCUGGACCCAGCAAGCUGAAGUAGGACCUCGCUCCAAUUGACGCAAAGAGGGAGAUUGUAGGGUCCGUUAUGUGUUGUGUCUUGGGCUCAUUCAUUAGUCCAAAUUUUGUUUCCGGAUUGGGUCUGUCCAUCCGUGGGUAAUUUUCUAGGGUUUAGUAUUUAUAGAUGCUUGCAUGCAUCUUAGUGCGUACGAUUUUGGGAGUCGAUCAUUCAUAGAAAUUACUUUUUGUUGUUUGUAACCCUAGUAGCCUCUACAGCGGAAGUUCUUUGUCGAGCUCUGCUGAGGCUUGGAUCUAUUGAAUCAUUCGACGUAUUUUGAUUCACUCUUGUGUUUGAUAUUUCUGUUUACGUUUUCGUGAUUAACCUGUUUAAGAUCUUACCGAUCAAAGAGUUGUUAACUCAUCAAGAAUAAUGAUUAUGUGUUCUGGAAAGUGGAAGAGUGCAUUGGGAGAGGGGAGACUGAAACUUGAAUGAAAGAGGCUCCUCUCCCUUUUUUUAUAAAAUUAUCCAAAUAUAUAUUUGUCUAGUUUUUAGUUCAUAAAACUCUUGGAUAUUUAAACUAAUAAUUAAGGAUAUAUGUUGAUACUUUAAAUAAUAUUUUACUUGAUUAUAUUUUCCUAAUUUUAAUUAUUAUAAUAUAUUUAUUAUAAGGUUUAUAAUAAGUUUUAUAGAAUUUUUGAGGUUGAAAUUUUAAAAUUUAGGGUUUUAGGGCUUUUAGUGUUUUGUGAUUUACUAAAUCUUAGGAUAUCAAAAUAAUUUGAAAUUUUGAGACUUCAAAUUAUUUUACAAUCAUAUAACUCUUUUAUAGUUAUAAUAAUGUUUGUAAUUCGUUUUUGUCAGUUUAUUGGCAUAUUUAUGUAGUGGCUCCAAGAUUCAAGUGAAAUUGAAGACCCAAGUAUAGUAGUCAUAGUUUCAACUUUGACUUAAGUUCCUACGAGACUCGGACCUAAUUUAUACUACUAGGUUAAGUGCAUGAUGUGUCUACAUGAAUAUACAAAAACGCUCGAGUCAAGGAAUGACCCGAAUUUCGGUAGUUGUUACAGUUAAAGUAGAAAUAGAAUUCAUAUAUCAAUGUGAAAUGUAAGUAUACUAUCACUCGUUUCUAAUUGCUUCCUAGUUUCUAGUAGGGUAUGGCUUAGCCUCUAGCUACCAAGAAUAGCAUGUGUCGUUCCUAUACAUGUAACUAAGUUUAUUCAAAUCUAGAACUAUCUCAAAUAUUGACGGUUGUCAUAGUUCCCCAGUUGAAAGAAUUUUGUCCCGAAAUUCAAUUCGUGACGUAUUCUAUUAGAACUUAACUGAAUACAAGUGUAUAGUUGAAGAGUUGGUGACUUGAAGAACCUUGGAUUAACUCCUCAACGGAGAGUGAAAUCCUUUAGUUAUUAUCAGGUUAGUGUUUCCCUAAUUUAAGUUUUUCCGUCAAGAUUGUAGGGAUUUAGAAUCAUGGAAACCAUGAUCUAACCAUGGAAACCUAGUUGAAAAACACUUAUAAGUUUUUCUAAAACAUCAAUUGCAUUGAGUGUGAUGUCCACAUGAAUCCUUAAGUCGCGUUCUAAAUUAGCACUCAGUGUAAAUCCGCUGCCUAAUAAAGAAGAGAUUAGGGAGAAUUUCCUCGCUUUCGGGUUGGCUAUUAUAUCUUAAAAAUGUAUAUUCCAAAAUACGAAGAGGUAGUUAUUUUUGGUCAAAAAUCAACUGAAGGGAUAUCAACCAAAUUGUAUGCGAGGCUGUGGUGUUGUAAGUGAAGUUACUAACGAACUUAGAACAAGAUUACACAAGAGAUUUACAUGGAAAGCCCUUGAUCCUUGUCAGGAUCUCCGACAUAAAGCCUUGGGAGGUGAUAAUGAUCACUUGCCUUGAUGAUCUUAUUGAUUGAAAUGAAUAAUUACAAGGAAAAUAUAAUGAAUACGAGUAUGAGUGCUAGUGCAUUGCCAAAAAAUCGUGUGUUAUAUGAUGAAUACAAGUGAUAUAUAUAUAUAUAUAUAUAUAUAUAUAUAUAUAACUUGUAUUCAUCAUAUAACACACACUUUUUUGGCAGAAUACUAGCACUUGUACUCAUACUCAUUACAUUUUCUCUUUAAUCAUUCAUUUCAAUCAAUAAAUUCAUCAAGGCAGGUGAUCAUUAUCACCUCCUAAUGUUUUAUUUCGGAGAUCCUUNAUAUAUAUAUAUAUAUAUAGUCUAAAGCUAAUAAGAAGAACUCUGAAAAUUUUGGGAUCCUCCUAGAUCAACAUAUAAUCGUUGCAUGACUUGGUCCUCCGGGUCUUUUGCAUGGCUGUGAUGACUAUUACUUGAGAAUAUAACUUUGACUGGUUAUUUAUGCACAUGUGUGAAUGAAAAAAGGAUAUAUAGUCGUUAUAUAUAUAUUAAAAAAUAUUAGUCAGGAUCCUGGAGUAUAUUUGGGAUCUUGAAGUUCGAGGAUCCUGAGCUUUUAAGGAUCCCCUAAACUUAAGUAUCUCAUAGUAGUUUCGAGAUACAAGCCCUAACAGUAGCAUGAAUGAAAGAGAAGAAAUCGAGGGUAAGUUCCUAAAGAUACUUAAUAAAGGUAGGAAAUGAAGUUUUGGCACAUCUCAAGUGUAAAUAGUAUUUAUGUGUCGUCUACAAAAAUAAAUUAUGAAAUGGCCGAGGAUUUCCGAAGAUAUUUUUACUACUAUCGUUACUGUCACUGCAGUAAAACCAUAUUCGAAGAAUAUAUAUACUUAGAGGGUCAUUAUUGCAAAUGAGGGUGAUGAAGUUUUAAGAUAAAUUAAGUCACAUUAUCUAGUGAGCAUUACAAGUGUUUAAAAAUGAUAAGAAGUCUCACUUUUAUCAAAAUGUGUAAUAAUUCCAUAAGAACGAACAUAUAUGUGUGGCAUUCAAAUGAAGUAGUAAAAUAAUGAAGAAAUUUGUUAAAGUUAAAAGUUUAAGUCAUCAAUGAGGGAAGUUAUACAUAAAUAUUUAGAUUACCCUUUCGAAAACAAGUUUUUGAAAAAAAAAAGAAAGUUGUAAAAAUAUCGGUUAUUAGAAAUGAUGCAUUCUUAAUUUAGUGACGCUAAGACAACAUUCGUUUGGAGGAUAGGUAAUCGUAACAUUUAAACCUUUUUAUGUUUUAAAUGAAAAGAAGAAACAUAAUAAAAUGUAUUCUUCACAUAUAUUUUCUUGAUUUAGAAAUAUGAUAAGCAUAAGGGUAUUCAUCUUGUGUAUUGAUUGUAAAGAAAAUACAAUGAAAAUUGCAUUUUUAAUCAAAUUUAUAAAUUUAGAAUGAAAGAACAAAUGAAAAUAAGGAUUACUCAUUUACAAUAGAUUUCAUAAUGAAACAAAAUGUAUAUGAUAAAAGGCAUAGUUGAAUAUAUGAAGGUUGGCCAAGUCGAAAUUAAUAGCUCGGAAAGAAAAAGUAGACUUCUAGUCUACAUGCAUAUGAAUAUGGUACUAAAGGAAGUAGUUUAGACAAGAACCAAUUUAGACCAUGCAUUCUAUUAUUAUUAUGUGUGUGUGAGAUCUCAAAUCAGAUAGAGAUCUAGAAUUCAAGUGCAUGGGAAAUAAAAGGAUGGUAGUAGCAGCAAUGAUUGCUAUUGUUAAAAUUAUAAGAACAAUACUUGUAGGUAUAUUUAAAACUACGUUGAGAUGUAUUUUGAACUUCAAUCUUUGAUGUAUGUUGGUGAUUAAAUAGACAUGUGUAAAUUUUAAACUGUUUGGUAAUAACUUAUAUCCAAUUUUAAAAUGUUUACAAAUGUAGUCAAAAUCCAUGAACACGUCAAUUAAAAAUGGCAAAAUCUACCUUGUGGUGGAAAAACCCUUCAAAUGUGUCCAAAGCUUUAAAAGAAAAUUUAAAAAAUUUAUUUUUAAAUAACAUUGAUAAAUUUUACUUAAAUAAAUUUUAGAAUAAAUAAAUUUUUUUUGAAGUUAUUAAUUUAAUCACAAUUUAAAAUUUUGGAUUUAUUUAAAAUAUCGUAGAGUCAAAAUGUCUUGUAAUAUGUCGAAGUCUAAUAUGUCGAAGUCUGUGUAUUUGUCAUUUCGUAUGUUUUCUAUAUAUUUGCUAAAGCAUCUUGUUUAUGAAGCGUAAUGUCUAGCCUUAGUAUUUUUUGUACAUUCGACCUCCUAUAAAUAGCAGCUGAACAUAGAGUUAGUAGUAAAGUUUUCCCAUUUUUACUAUCGUUUUGUACUCUUGUUCAUUGGAAGUAAUAUGAGCUAAAACAAAUCAUAUUUACUUUGUGUGUUCAGAUUACAUCGUUUUUACUCUGAUUUGAUUCUUGUACUCGAUUAAACACUUCUACAAUUGGUAUUAGAGCAGGAAUCAACACUGCAUAGAUCUGAUUUUCAAUUGAAUCUCUAGUUUUUGAGUCCCGAAUGUGUCUCAAAAGUUUUCGCAUUGUUAGAUUCUGAAAAUCCUCUCUGAUCUACUUUUUUGAUUUGAUUCGCCGUUUGAAUUGUGUGAUCGAGUAAUCGAUUUUUAGUUUCUAAUCAAUUCAUACAGCCAAUUUCAAAUUUCUUCAAGUUUUUCUGAAUAAUCUCAUCCGUACGUUAAUGGCGAAUUUCAACAUGAACAUGAUGACUUCAUUCUCUCAUCUGUUAGCAUCUUCUACGAAGAUUCCUAUGUUGAUUCCAGUGUACUAUGAUCAAUGGGAUGGUCAAAUGGAGGAUUAUUUGAAUGGAUUGGACGAGGAACUCUGGAGUUGCAUUACAGGUAUCGCUCAACCUCCAUCGAAUGUUCAAACUAUUGGAUCAUCUGGAUCUACACCUGCUGUUACUGAUCAAUCCACCAUGCUAAAGAACAACCAAAAGCAUUGUUUGAGAGGAUUGUGAGGUGCAUUGUCACCUGUUGUUUACAAUUACGUUCGUGGUUGUAAAACUGCAACGUUAUUUGGAAUACUCUUAAGGAAAAUUAUCAGGGUAGCAAGAAAACGAAGAUAAAUUCUGUUAAACAGUGUCUUGUGGAGCUGAAAGAAUUCACACAAAAAGAGAAUAAAACGAUUAAAUUUUACUAUGAUCGUCUUAAUGAACUGAUCUAUAGAUGCAAUUGUUAUGGAAUCACAAGGUCAUCAAUGGAGUUCAAUCUCACUUUUGUGUUGGGACUUCGUACGGAAUGGAGGAGUGUCAGUAUGAUGGUGAAGAAUCAACAAAGCUUCGAUACUUCAUCUCUGAAUGAUUUCUAUAAUCAGUUAAAAACUAAAGAAAGUGAAGUCCAUGAGAUGGCUGAAGAGUCGAAACUUAGCUUGGAAAGUGCUUUAGCUCUUGUUUCGAAAAUGUCUGAGAAAGAAGAAGUUGAGAAAGUUGAUUCUGAGGAAGAAGAAAUUCUAAUGAAUUCUGAUGAUGAAGAGGUUGAUUUUUACUCGAACAACCGGGUUAAAAAGUUUUUCAAGAAACCUUUCAACCCCAAGGUGAAGCAAGGUGAUGCUAAGUAAGUUUUGUGAAUAUGUUUGUGCGUGAGUAGGAGAAGAAAUUCGAGAAGAAUGAUGUGAAGGCAACUGAAGCUAAAAGUGAGAACAAACUUAAAGGAGAUUCGGGCAUUGAUUGUCCUUACUGCAACAGAGCAAAUCAUUUGGCUAAUGAUUGCAUGUUUCGUAAGAAGGAAAAGAAAAAGAAUAAGGUCAAGGACGAAGCCUAUUAUGUGGAGAAAUUGGAAGAGGUACGAACAAAAGCUAAAGGGAUGCCAUUGGUUGCAAGAGGAGAAGGUGAGGAAGAUGGCACAUAUCAUAUCUGAUCUUCAGGAUCUGAUGACGAAGAGAUGCGUAAUCUGACACAUGGUGCUAUGUUCACACAAUUUGAAGAGGAUGAGGACGAAAAGGUGACUGGUCGUUGUUUCAUGACCAAAUCUGGUGACAAAUCACCGAUAACAACAAAGGUACUUUCUAUUCUUCAAUAUUUUAACAUUCCCUUACAAGCUUAUGAUUCUGGAAUAAUUGCAUUUGAUGAUACUGUUGCUUAGUUUGAUACAAUUGUGGUGUCUGCUAGUAAUGAAGCUAAGAAAUUAAACAUCCCGGUGCUAGAGACCAAAAAAUCUAGAUUCAAAACGAAGCACGUUAGAGUAUCUGGAAUUGAAAUUGAAUAAUUUGAAUAAUGAUAUGGAUUGUUUAGAUCAGGAUGUUCGAAUGUUAGUUGCUCAAAGAAACAUUUGUUGUAAUUCAGCAAAAAGAUUAUAUGCAAAAUUGACUUCAUUACACCAUUCAUCUGAAAUUAGCAAAGAACAACAUAGGAAGUUGAUAGUUUGUCUUAUGAUUCUGAGAAAACCAUAGAAGAAUUCGAUAAAGUUCCUAAUAAUCAAUUUGCUUAUGGUAUUGUUGAAAUAUAUGAAUAUUUGAAUGUUGAUGAACUUGUUGAAAUAGUGAAUGAAACUUUGACCAAAAGUGAACAAAUAAAAAAUUUGAAAACAACUGAGAAUUAAAAACUUGACUCUCAAUCUAAUUUUGCUGAUAUCGAUGAUAAUUCUGAUAGUAUUAGCGAAAUCAGUGAAAUUGAGGAGGAGGAAAGUAUUGAUUGUUCUCAGUUAUCUGUCAUUAAUGUCACAUCUAAGUCAAAAGGUAAUGAAAUUUGUAAUGAUUCAAUGGUUGAGGAUGACACUGAUAGACCCUCUACUUCGAAUGUUUGUGACAUUUAUCAUGUGAGUGUAAAAGAUAGUCAAAUGGAUAGUAGUGAUGAUGAGAAUGAAGACAAAGUGUCAGACAAUUCUAAACAUAAAAGCAUGUUUCAAACGAAACAAUCAAUAAACGAAUUGUUGUUGACCAAGUGUUUGGAGACACUGAAAAUUUUCAAAAAGUGUUCUCUGAAAAAGGUGCUCAUUUUCUAGAAACGAAUAUUGUGGUGUAUCUAAAUUUUAAUUGUUCAUAUGAUGUUGUAUUUCCGAAUCAAGUGUUUGUCACAACUGGGAAUAUUGAAAACAUCAAACCGGAGUUCAACAAAAUGGUCGAAGAAGACAACAAAAAAACAUCAGACAAAUGGUUCUUUUCAAAUCAAAGUAUUGUCGAAAAUAAUCUAACAAAGAAUUCAUAUGUUUUUCAAAGACAAAAACCACAAAGAAAAUGGGUUGAAAAACAAGAAAAUACAAAAGAAAUUUUGAAACAAGAAUCAAAUGAAACAAAUGAGAAUGUGAAACUUAAUUCACAAGAAUUUAAGGAUCUUGUUGAAAAAUUUUAGAAUGAAAAAGGAAUUUCAAGAAGACAGGCUCGAAAGAAAAUAUUUUGGCAAAUUGUGUCCAAUGAAAAGCAAUCAAAAAUACCAAUCAAGGAAAUGUCUAAAAAAGGGUUGUUUAAAUAUGUACAAACAAAGUUUUCAACUCGUUCAGAUAAAAAGGAAAAUUCCGCUCAACCAGUUUCGUCUGACUCUCAAAAUAAUUCAACGAAGUUUUCAAAAUCAUCAUCUUCAAAGAAUUUUCAAACAAAUGCUCAACAAAAUAAUUUUCAUUCAAAAAGACAACAAUAUUUCAACUUCAAAUUCAUCUUUUCCUAAAACAAAGAACGAUCAAAAUAAAUUUUCUUCGAAGACAAAUCGACAUUUUGCUAAUCAUCAUCAAUUUGAGAACGUUUGAAAAUUUGACAAUGUUCAUCAAGUUGAGAAUGUUCAAAAAUUUGAGAAUGUUCGAAAAUUUGAAAAUGUUCAAAAAUUUAAAAGCGUUCGAAACAUUCUAGAUAAUCAAACAUUUUUGAAUGAUAAAUCCAAAAGAUCUACAAACUUUACUCUAGAAAAACCAAAUUUUCUGAAUCCAUCUACACAAAAAGCGACUCAAGUUUCAUACAUACAAGGUUCAUCUGGGGUGGAAACAAUCAAUCAUUGGCUUGAGGAAAAAGGGAAAAAGUAUCAAUCAAGAAAGUUUUCUCAACAACAAAUCAAGCAAGCCUGUGAAUAGUAUUUGAAUGAUACUUCAUCUGGAAGUUCAUCUUCAAAAGAAUCAAAUACUCCAGUUCAAAAAUGGCGACCGAUCUCAAAAGUACAACAUACUGAGAAGCACGAGAAGAAUAUCAGUGAAAAUCCAAACCUAUCGAAAAAUUAUGUUUCGAUAUCCCUAACUGAUGAUGUCGACUUAAUUGAUACUUUCAAAACAAAAGUUCAAAAUUGGGCUUUAGGUUCUAAAUUCCAUUCACUUUUUUAAACUAAUGACCAAGGACCCAAACAACCAUGGGUACCUAAAUUCUUUUAAUGAUUGCAGGUACUGUGUGACCAGCAUUAUGAUGAGAAAUGGUAUAUUGAUAGUGGUUGCUCGCGUCACAUGAUUGGAAGAAAAGAGAAUUUGAGAUAUUUUAGAAGUUUGGAAAAUUAUGGUGUUGUGAAGUUUGGAAACAAUCACAAAUGUCAAGUAAAAGAUUAGCGGAAAGUAACGAAUGGACAGUUUACUGUAAAUCGUGUUGCUUAUGUAGAAGGUCUUCAACAUAAUUUGAUAAGUGUUUCACAACUUGUUGUGGGCACUGGAAAUCAAGUUGUGUUUAGCGAAGAAGAAAGUAUUAUUUCAAAUGUUGAAACGAAUGAAGUAUUACUGAAAUCAAAAAGAUAUGGGGAUAUGUUCACUCUUGACAUCAAACCUAUUAUUGGGAAACCCUCAGUUUGUUUACUUUCGAAAGCUCCAUUUGAUGUUAGCUGGUUGUGGCAUCGUCGUUUAUCUCAUUUAAACUUUCGAAAUCUGAAUAAGUUGGUAGUAGAAGAUCUUGUUCGAGGUAUACCUGCUCUAAUGUUUGAUAAUGAUACUUGAUGUGCAUCUUGCAAACAAGGAAAACAGCAUUAGAAAGGGCAUCCAAUAUUCAUAGAUUCGAAAAUUGUUAAAUCGUUGGAACUUCUUCAUAUUGACCUCUGUAGACCCUCAAUUGUUGAAGCACUUAACAAGAAACGGUACAAUUUGGUUAUUAUUGUUGAUUUUUCAUAAUUCACUUAGGUGUAUUUUCUCAGGUUAAAAUCAGAUGUCGCUGAAACAAUGAUCAAAUUUAUCAAUAGAAUUGAGUCGAUCCUAAAGAAGAAAGUUCGAAAAAUCAAAAGUGAUAAUGGUUCCGAGUUUAAAAAUAAUGUGCUUGAUUCGUUCUUAACUAAGAAAGAAAUUUCGCAUAAUUUCUCAUCGCCAUAUACACCACAACAAAAUGGUGUGGAUGAAAGGAGGAAUACGUCUCUUCGCGAUGCAGCAAGAACAAUGUUGACAUAUGCAAAUCUUCCUCAAUAUCUAUGGGCAGAUGUAGUUUCGAUAGCAUGUUUUACUCAAAAUCGAUCUUUUAUUCAUCGUUGUUUUAGUAUAACUCCAUAUGAAAUCAUAAAUAACCGAAAACCUAAUGUCAAAUUCUUUCAAGUUUUUGGUUGCGAUUGUUUUAUCAUGAAUCUCAAAGACAAUCUUUCGAAAUUUCAUGAUAAGGCUGAUGAAGGAAUAUUUUUGGGAUAUUCAAAUAAUUCGGUGGCAUACAGAGUAUUGAAUACACGAACUAUAAAAGUUGAAGAGACGUUUAAUCUCAAUUUUGACGAUUACUAUGUGAAACAAGUUGAAAAAUGUUUCGAACAAAAACCGAUUGUUAAUGAAUCAAAUGAUAAGUCUAGAAUUUGUAAUUCAUCUGAUUUUGAUUAUGAUUUAAUUUUUGGUGUUCCAGACAGGGUUGUUGAUGCUGAAGUAAAUGCUGCUGAUAAUCAAACUCCUAAAUCUUCGAAACAUAUUGAUGAUUUGACAAUCACAUCAGAUACUGUUGCUAAUGGCGAAAGUAUGCUAGAUGCACAUGUGGAGGGGAGCACUUGCAUAUUCCUUCAAAUCAUGAGGUGGAGCAUCCUUUCGAGGGGGAGAAUAGCAGUGUAAAUGAAAGUUUCGAGGGGGAGCAUCAGGAUG
Molecule: long non-coding RNA, 51362 nt
Filed under: Lactuca sativa (garden lettuce)
Lineage: Eukaryota; Viridiplantae; Streptophyta; Magnoliopsida; Asterales; Asteraceae
Description: long non-coding RNA (LSAT_LNC001309)
Source: RNAcentral